This 48019-nucleotide long non-coding RNA is filed under the name Nicotiana tabacum (common tobacco). Lineage: Eukaryota; Viridiplantae; Streptophyta; Magnoliopsida; Solanales; Solanaceae. The record is from RNAcentral.
AAGAGAUGAACAUGAAUUAUAGCUCUUUGAUUAACAAAAUUUCAGCAGCUACAACCUCGAAUCAAGCGGAUUCUUCAAGUAAUUACAACGACAAAACAGGAAGCCGGAACCGGAAGAAAACUCAAGCAUCAAAACGGACUGUCCUGAAACCUCUUUAUCUCUCUGUUACCGUUCCCCUCUACUCUUCGUUUAUUUCUUUUUGAUUGUCAUGUCUUCUUGGUCUUUGUUUUGUGCAGGUUAUGGCUGCCUAGGUUUGAGGUAAAGAAGAUUUCUGUUUGUGAGGUGGUCGACGGAAACAACUGAUUUCAGCUCUUGGUGUAUAGGUCCUCUUUUCGUUAUUUUGGAAUUUUUCGUUCCCUUCGGGAUUUUUAGGUUAUCUCUUUAUUAAAGAAGAGGAGAAAUGGAGGUCCUUAGGUUUUCCUUUUUGUUCCCCUUGAUAAAACGGUUGAUCCUCUAAGUAUAUUCUAGAGUUAUUUUUAGACUAGUUUUGGUUAUAUAGAAGAGUUUUUAGGUUAAGGGGUAUGGGCCUAGGAAUUAUGAGCUUGAGAAUUAUGGGCUAGGUCCAAAAUUAGGCCUAUAAAUGGGUUGCUUGAGCCCAAGAUUUACUCUUUCCUUGCGAACGAGAUUAAAAAUACGAUCUCAUUUAUUAAUUAAUCCUACUAUUAAAAUAAUUAUUGAAAUAAAACUAACCGUUAAUACAAACCUAUUUUUGGUAUUUUCAAAUAUCAUAUUAAAAUAAAAAUACGGUACUAUUUUUGUAUUUUUUAAUAUUAAAAAUGACUACAAAACAUUAAUGAACUUAUUUUUAUAAUUUUGAUUUCUUGUAAUAAAAUAAAAUAAAAGAGUAAAAAUGAGUUGAAAUAGCUCUAUUAGACCUAAAUUAAAUAUUUUACGCUAAAAAUGUGAGAAAUCUUGGGGAGGAUCAAAAAUCACAUGUCUACAGAAAGGACAAAAGACUGUCAGGAAAAGGAAAAUGAGCUUCUUUUUGUAACCUGGAAAAGCUAAAAAGGAAGGGGGGGGGGGGGGGACUUCUUAUUUUUGUUGAGGGGAGCACCAUUUUUUGAUUUUUUUGGAGGAGGAGAGAUCCAAUUUUUUUUUUGUCUAAGAUCUGAUGUCUUUAGGUCUAGCUUUUGGUCUUAAUUAAAAGGGAAGGGAAAUGAGUAUUGAGCUUUGGGCUUAAAGGGAUUUGGGUCAUGAAUUUGGGCUAAUUAAUUUUGGCCCAAUACAAUAAGACUAAAUCAAAAUCUUUUUUCCCAGUUUCUUUUUCUUUGAUUUUAAAAUCUAAUAAAAUCCUAAAAUAAUCCUAAAUCAAUCUAAUUUAUAAAAGUUAAAAUUGUUUAUUUAUUAAAAUAAUUAAUUAACUUAAAACUAAAUAAAAACACUAUUUUCUAAUGACUAAAAGCUAAAUAUGUAAAAAUGACCAUUUUCGUGAUUUUUCUUAAUAAAAUUAAUUUCUACAUGCAAAUUGAACCUAAGAUGGCAUGAAAUUAAAAAGUUAUAAUUUUUUAUGAUUUUUUUAUAAUUUUAAAAUAUUAAAAAUGCAUGAAAUGCAACUAAGUAAAGAAAAACUUCUAAAAUCCCAUAAAAAUUAUUUUUGGUCUAUUUUUAGGAGUUAUUUCAAGUAGGGAAAAAAUUAGGUGCUCACAGCUGCCCCUCUUUGCUUGGAAACAUGAAGAGUUUUCGGGCAAAGAUAAAGUGAGCAAUUUUUGCCCGUUUGAAACUCCAUUUGGAAGCAUUUUGAAAAAGUUUGACCGAACCUUGCUUCGAAGGUUGCCUAUAUAUCCUUGGCUAUAAAGGAAUCAGGUCGGUGUAGUUCUGGAAGUUUUGGUAGCUGGGACUACCGACAAGCUGUGAUUUCACUGUUGUUGCUGCUGUUUCUGCUUGCUGAGCUCCUUAUUACACCAAAAUGAAAAUGAAAACUAAACUAAGCCUAUCAGCUACGAGUUACAAGAUUCCUAUCUAUAAAUCUUCUGGAGCUCGAUCUUAAGUCUUGACUAGAUGCGGACUCUGAUAUGAAUCUUGAUGCUCAUUAGCUGUAGGUGCUAGUUUAUUCUUCUUCAGUUUUUGAAACAAAACGGGACUUGCAAGGCUUGCAACUUCAAUCAUAUCUUGAGCAGUUCAUAUCUUUUUUGCCUUUGCACUUUGUUUCACUUCUUUUCUUUUGUUCUUUUUCUUUUAUUCUGGAUUGAGCCUUUUUUUGGUUGUCUCUAAACUUGUGCCUCAAGGUAAAAACCUAUUGAGGCACCAAAACAAAUAAACGAACGAAAUUUUUCUGCCCCAGUUUUCACUAGGAAAAUUUCAUGAGUUAUUACAACAAAAAUCUAAACUACUUCUUUAUUGAAAGCAAUAAAAUCAGUAUUGUGUAUUCUUGGGAAAAAAGAGAUUAGGGAGUGGAGCUCUAUAUCUAAAAUGAAAUCAAAUGGGGAUCGGAGGUCCUAAAUUGGAAAGAUUACCAGGUUAUGCUGGCAUCAACUAAAGAAUGAGACCUUGUGCCAGAAAAGAUUACUAGGUUAUGCUGGCAAAGCUAGGGAGUGGAACCCUAUGUUGGAAAAGAUUACCAGGUUAUGAUGGCAUCAGCUAGGGAAAAGGACCUUAUAUUGGAAAAGAUUACCAGGUUAUGCUGAAAAAAAUCACUGGGUUAUGCCGGAGAAGUCAUCGGGUUAUACCGGAAAGGUCCUCGGGUUAUGACGGGGAGGUCCACAUGUUAUGCCGGGAAAGUCAUCGGGUUAUGCCGGGGAGGUCCACGGGUUAUGUCGGGAAAGUCAUCGGGUUAUGCCGGAAAAAGAUCCUCGGAUUAUGCCGGGGAGAUCCACGGGUUUUGCCGGAAAAGGUCCUCGGGUUAUGCCGGGGAGGUCCAUAGGUUAUGCCGGAAAAGUCAUUGGGUUAUGUUGGAAAAAGGUCAUCGGAUUAUACCGGGGAGGUCCACGGGUUAUGCCGGAAAAGUCAUCGGGUUAUAUAGGAAAAAGGUCCUCGGGUUAUACCGGGGAGGUCCACAGGUUAUACCGGGUAAGUCAUCAGGUUAUGCCGAAAAAGAUCCUCGGGUUAUACCGAGGGAUCAACUAGGGAGUGGAACCUUAUACUGAAAAAGGACUACCAAGUUAUGCUGGCAGCGACUAGGGAAUGAGACCCUUUGUUGGAAAAAGAUUAUCAGGUUAUGCUGGCAUCGAUUAGGGAAUGGGACCCUAUACUGGAAAAAGACUACCAGGUUAUGCUGGCAGCGACUAGGGAAUGAGACCCUUUGUUGGAAAAAGAUUACCAGGUUAUGCUGGCAUCGACUAGGGAAUGGGACCCUAUACUGAAAAAAGACUACCAGGUUAUGCUGGCAUCUACUAGGGACUGGGACCCUAUGUUGGAAAGAUUAUCAGGUUAUGUUGGCAUCAGCUAGGGAGUGGGACCCUAUGCUACCAUGAUUUUGAAUUUUCUUCUUUCUUUUCAUUUCAUUUUUUUUAUUUUAAGAAAAUGAGUAAAAAUGCAGGAAAAAAUUUGGAGGAGACUUCCCUUUUGGAUUGAUUAUUACUGCAACGUUGUUUCUAGCCCUUGCGCAGUUUCUUUUUUGUUGCACCUGCUUCUUGCAAGGUUGCUUUGGAUUUCAUCUGUUUCAUGUUUUCAAACAAAAAACAAUUGUUAGUUUGAAACGGUGGUUGGUUUUGUGGACUUGAUUUUUUCAAUCGCUUGAUCUUGGCCCCGCUUUUUUGAUGAAGAUCUCAACUGCAACUGUUUGUUCCCUAAGGACCGAUUUCAUUUCAGGCCCUGGAGAGCCUCUGGUUUUUCCAAACUUUUCCAUGACGGUUGGUCGGUGGAACUCAACCUUUUCGACUUUAUCUUGCCUUCGCAGGCCUUUCCCUUUCGACUUGUUGUUUUUUCUUUUUUUAACUUCGGAGCAUUGGGGAACUUUUUUCUCCUCAAACUUUUUCGCAAUGGCUAGUAGCAUGGGAUUUAACCUUUUCCAACUUUAUUUCGCCUUUAUAGGCCUUUUAUUUCUGGCUACUUUCUUUCCAACUUCAAUUUCAGAGCAUUUGGGGUCCCUUGGCUUNNNNNNNNNNNNNNNNNNNNNNNNNCAAGAGUUUUCAAUUUCAAAACAUCAGCCACCAUGGCCGAUCGAAGUCGACUUGAUGUCCCUGACGAUGCUGGGUUCCCCUUUUUGCAUAUUAGCUUGUAUCAAAUGAGAACCCCGUAAAUCGGUCUUACCAUCCUUUCUUUGUCUUAGUUUCAAAACAGAGUUAGACCGAAAAGGAUUCAAAGAAAAUAAACAAUGGCAGGGAAAAUGAGUUUAAAACAAGAAGUGUCCCUUUGGGGAAAAGGAAAGAAGGACUUAUCUGGAGUACAUGCGGACUUCAUAUGAACAUGACAUGCCUUUUGGACUAGAUGCCUGAUCUGUGUAAACUAUCCGACUCUCGAAAAUUCAUUACAACUUUUGCCUCAAAGUCGAGAAACCUUGCCAGGACUCUGUCGAUGCCGAUGGCUAUGAGGAUCUUCUUUUCGAUCAGUGGCGCCCUUUGUGGGUUUUCACUAGCUGGCCACUCUCAUUUAUCUUCUCACCAUCGCCUUAUAAUGCUCUUUGCGAGUUUUCACUAACAAAUUCUCUCAUUUUAGUUUCUCUGCUUACUGUCGCCUCAUGGUGCCCGUGUGAGUUUUCACCAAUAAGACUCUCUCAUUUUAUUUCUCUCAUUUGGUUGCAUCGGAUCCAAGUAGUUGUAUCCUCUAAUUUUGAACAUCUUACCGAUUGGUCGGAAGGACUUGAACAUAGUUUGGGGUAAAAAUGAUUUGGAUUUAAUUACAACUUUGGAACCUUUCAGGCGAAAACAUCGUCGAACCAUUGUAACUUCUGCCCCAGUUUCAACUUUUGGGGAAAUUUGAAUUUUUAUUUUGGUGUGACUGAACCCCAGAGAGAGGCUGCCUACGUAUCCUUUUAGAAUCAAGUCGAACGUAGUUCAGGAAACUUUGUUUUUGAUUUUCUUUUGUUUUUCUGUUUUGUUUUGUUUUCUAUUUCCUUUUCCUCUCUUUUUUUUGUUUUUUUUUCAAUUCAUUUUCUUUGUCUUUUCUUCCCUUUUUGGUAUCUUUCUUUUUUCUUCUAUUUUCAUUUUUUUGUCACUUUUCAAUUUUUUUUUCAAUAACACUUUCAGGUUCCAAAGAGGGUAAUCAAAAAAGAAUAAUUGGCUCAAAUGGUGUACAAAAGGGUUAAUGGUGUUUGGGUAGCGAGAAUGAAAGUCUUUGUCAUCCCAACCGGAGAAUAUUAAUACUAUUUGGAGGAUCAAACAUAGUACCUUUUGGAUGUAUUUGCAUUGACAGUUAUUACAGGGACAUUUCCUUCGAUGUUUUCCAGGUACAACGCUCUCUUUUGGCAGUACUCUUGUUGCAAUGUAUGGACCUUUCCAAUCUAGAGCCAAUUUUCCUUCAGCUAUUUCGAGUCUUUGCUUUAUUUCCUUAAACUUAUCUUCAUUGCAUUUUGAUUCUUGACUCGUUAUUUCGAAGUCUGACAAUGUUUUAGGAUCUGGGCAUGAAGUCCGCAAGCAUGUCAUGUUAUUGAAAUCUGCAUUUAACUGAACUAAACAGAGAAUAAGAAAAGAGACAUUCCUCGACAAUGAAAUAUUAAUUUCAUUUGAUUUUUUGGUUUUUGUUUUUUUUUUCAAUUCUUUGAAGAUAGAAGGGUUUACAUCGGAAAGUAAUACAAUAAGGUAAAACAUCUGGAUCACACCCUGAGAUAAUCCAAAUGCAUAAAGGAUAGCAAGACUGGCUACUAAGACUCCUGUCUGAUGGGGAACUUUCAUGCUUGGCGACCUAUUUUUGGCUUUUCUUCUGUCUCGGCAAUGGCUGCAAUGACCUUCAGUGCCGGAUCAAAUUCCUCAUAUUUACAAAUCAUUCCGACUAUUGGUCCGAUGUUGUGGGCAAGCAACAGAUUGUUCAUCACAUCAGGAGCUUCUUCACCUCGAAAGUCAAUUCUUUCAGCUUCAAUCAAGUCUUCAACUGCCCUUUUGUGGGUCAAACAGUACUCUAUACUGUGUCCCACUGCUCCAGAGUGGUAUUCACAUCUAGCAUCAGUUCGGUGCGAUGGGGACUCGGGGUUCGACCGGUUCGGGGCCACUGAUUGCAAUAGAUUUAGCCUGAUUAGUCUUUGGAACAAGCUUGAAUACGAUUCACCAAUAUGGGUGAACUGAUUCUUUCUGAAAGGCUCUCUUGGGCGCGGAUUGUAUUGGGAAACAUUUGGUUGGGGAUUAUAUGGAGCUUGGUAAGGAUGAGCAUUUAUGGGUGGUGGAGCUCGGUUUUGUGUAUAAUGUUGUGGCCGCGUGUAAGGUUGCGCGUUCAUCACUGCAUAAGGAGGCGAUGCCACGACAUAAGCAACAUCUUGAUGGGGAUAAUAGUGUGGUAGGACCAUAGUUGGCACAUAUGAUUGGCUGAAUGACCUGCGGGCCCCUUCGAGCUUGAAGCCAUCAUGGCUCCCUCUUCAACCCCAUUUCUAUUCAUCAAACUCUCUGAACCAUUCUGAGCAGCCUGUGAUGUGUCCUUAAAGGCAGCAUGACUUAAGAUUCGCCCUUUUUUUAAACCGUUUUCAACCAUUUCUCCAAUUUUGAUAGUCUCAGCAAACGACUUUCUCAUAGCGGACAUCAUGUUCUGGAAGUAGUCCGCCUCUUGGGCCUGUAGAAAGACCGCGACCAUUUCAAUUUCGUCCAUUAGAGGCUUUACCCUGGUAGCUUGCUCACGCCAUUUGAUAGCAUAUUCGCGGAAGCUUUCCGCGGUUUUCUUUUUCAAAUUGGACAAAGAUUUUUGUCGGGAGCGAUGUCCAUAUUAUACUGGAACUGGCGGACAAAAUCUCGGGCCAUAUCGUCCCAUACGUGCCAAUGAGUAAUUUCUUGAUUCGUAUACCACUUAGAAGUGAUUCCGGUGAGGCUUUCCCCAAAAUAGGCCAUUAACAACUCCUUUUUUUCACCAGCGCCUCUCAACUGGUUACAGUAUCAUUUCAGGUGAGCGACCGGGUCUCCAUACCCAUCGUACUUUUCAAAUUUUGGCAUCUUGAAGCCAGCUGGCAAGCGGACAUGGGGAAACAUACAAAGGUCAGAGUAUGCCAUGGUUAUUAUUCCCACACUUCAUUAGACCUCUCAGGCAGUGAGUCUGGAGCGGAUGACAUCUCUUGCCCCUCCGAGUACUCCAGUUCCAAUAGAGCAUAUCUCCGAUCCUAGUUCCUAUAUGAAUUUCUUAGUUUGGAAUUGCCGGGGAUCGCAUAAUCCUGAGUUUAGUCGUCACUUUAGGUCUUUGUUAGAUAAUCACAGACCUGUUCUAGCAAUCUUACUUGAAACGUACAUGCAUGACCACUCAAGGCUUCGUGAUGACUUUAACUUCACUCAUAUGUCACAAGUUGCUGCUAACGGGCUAAUAGGGGGACUAGUGGUACUAUGGAAUGAUGAGGGCAUCAAGGUCACAGAGAUGAGAAUUUCUGAGCAAGAUAUACAUUGUAUGGUCCAGGUAUAUUCUAAUAAACCCCCAUGGUUGUUAUCUGCUAUUUAUGCUAGUAGCCAUUCUCAUUUAAGAAAUUUACUUUGGGAUAGUUUAAUUAAUUUACAAAAUACUCUUGAUAUGCCAUGGUUAUUAGGAGGUGAUUUUAAUGAAAUUAUGAACUCUAGGGGGAAAUUUGGUGGUCUUCUUAUAAGAAAUGGUAGAGUAGAUAGGUUUGUUAAUUGCUUAAAUUACUGUAAAUUAUUAGACCUCGGCUUUCAUGGUAGCCAUUUCACUUGGACUAAUAAGCGUAGAUAUGGUAACAUAAUUCUAGAGAGGCUUGAUCGUUUUCUAGCAAACUAUGAAUGAUUAAAUUUGUAUCCAGAAGCUGUGGUAAAGCAUCUUCCACGAACUUACUCGGAUCAUUGCCCCCUUCUAAUUACACUAGAUCCCACUCCCAGGAUACCACAAAAAAAUAUUUCGCUUUGAAACAAUGUGGGCAUCUCACCCACAGUUUCCAGCUUUAGUUCGUAACAUUUGGUCAGGGGUUUAUUCUUUGCCUCAGACUACAAAAUUAUUCUAGGCUGCUGCUACCCUUUGGAACAAACAACAAUUUGGGAAUAUUUUUCAACAAAAAAAAACUUUAUUAGCUAGACUAGCAGGAAUUCAAGCUUCGAUGCAUUAUCCUACUAGUAUAUUCCUGCAAAAUUUGGAACUAGACCUUUCUAUGCAAUAUAGUAAAAUAUUACGUUUAGAAGAGAGAUUUUAGAAAUUAAAAUCCCGUAUCAAUUGGUUAAAUGAGGGUGAUGUGAAUACAAAAUUUUUUCAUAUGACUACUAUUCAUAAACGUAGGCGAAAUAGAAUUUUUGGACUAAGAGACUUGGUGGGCAAUUGGAUUUUCCAUCAAGAUGACCUAAAGCAGCAUAUUACUGCUUUUUAUCAAACUCUAUAUUCACAAUUAGGCAAUUAACUUCUAAUAAAAACUACAACGAUUCUUACAAUUUUAAUCUUUCUAUACAUGAUAAUCAACAGUUGGAGGAGCCUCUUGGACAACAUGAGAUUAAAAGUGCCUUAUUCAGCUUUAAACCCUAUAAAUCACCUGGUCCGGACGUACUUCAUCCUUUUUUCUAUCAAAAAUUUUGGUCAGAUGUAGGCAAUAAGGUUACUUUAUUUUGCCAAGACAUUUUUAAUACUAAGGAAAUGCCUUACGAAUUAAAUCAAACCUUUAUAUGUCUUAUUCCUAAGGUAAAGAACCCUGCUACUAUUCAACAAUAUCGUCCUAUAAGCUUAUGCAAUACUUUGUAUAAGUUGAUUACCAAGCUAAUUGUAAAUAGGCUAAAACCUAUCAUUGCUAAGAUAAUAGGACCUACUCAAAUUAGUUUUCAACAAGGUAAACGAGCUUCUGAUAAUGCUAUUAUAGUAUAGGAAGUUUAAACUAUUUUAGGAAUACUAAAGGUAAAACUUCUUACAUGCUUUUGAAAUUAGAUCUAGAAAAGGCGUUUGACAGGUUGAAAUGGUCAUUUAUUCGGAGAACACUUAUAUAUUUUAAUAUUCCUGCUUCACUGAUUACUUUAAUCAUGUCAUGUGUUACAACAACUUCGGUUUCUAUUUUAAUUAAUGGUUCUAAGACUCCAUAUUUUGUUCCGACAAGAGGCAUUCGUCAGGGUGAUCCUUUGUCGCCUUACUUAUUCAUAAUGUGUAUGAAAAUGUUCUCACGUAGCAUUUCAUUAUCAGUAGAUUACCUACAAUGGAAACCCAUUAGCCUAUCUAGAAAUGGUCCACAGCUUUCACACCUUUUAUUUGCGAACGACAUUGUUUUGUUUUCAAAAAUUACUACUAAGAGUUGUCAUGCAAUAGUUGAUGUUCUAGACCACUUUACCUCUUGCUCCGGUCAACAAAUUAAUUUUGAAAAUUCUAAGGCUUACUUCUCCAAGAAUAGCUCCCAAUCUGACCGGAAUUUUGUUAUAGAGAAUUUUUCAAUUAAGGAAGGGACUUCGUUUGGUAAAUAUUUAGGGUUUCCUAUAUUCAGUACUCGACCUAAAAACGAGGACUUUCAACUCCUUCUAGAUAAUUUUAAGAAUAGAUUAGGGGGAUGGAAAAUUAGUUUUUUAACCAUGACAGGUCGCACUACUCUUAUUAAAUUUACUCUGAAUAACCUUCCUAAUCAUAUUAUGCAGUAUAUUCAAAUUUCCAAACAUAUUAUCAAAAAAAAUGGAGCAAUACCAGCGGAAAUUUCUUUGGGGCACUACCUUAACAAAGAAGAGAAUGCACCUUCUCAAAUGGAAUGUUGUAACAACCCCAAAAGUUAUAGGUGGUUUGGGCAUUCAAAAAUUAGGGCAAAAAAAUAAGGCUUUACUAGCAUGCCUUGCUUGGAGAAUUUGCCAAUCUCCUCAAGCAAUGUGGUCAAGGAUUCUUAUUAACAAAUACAUCCACAAAAAUAUUGUGUUGAAUAAUUCCAAAAACUUGGGAUAACAUCCUAAGAGGCUGGAACAUUUGCCAAAUGAGUAUUAAAUGGAGAAUAGGAGAUGACAAGCAUAUUAGUGUUUGGGACGACCCUUGGUUAAAGCCAGCCACAACAUUGCGCUCUAUGAUACAAGGCCCCUUAACUUUGGAACAAACGAGUCUAACAAUUUCUUAAAUACUUAAUCCCAUAGGAUGGAAUAGGGAAAUAAUUCCUUUUGACCUAGGGCAUAAUAUUAAUCGUUUGAUGGAUGCUACUUACGUAUCCCAUUUUCGCAAUCAAGCAGAUCCAAUCUACUGGGGUCUAAUUCGAACUAGCAAAUUUACUGUUAAUUCUAUGUAUACCACACUUGAGGUAGACACACAGUCUUCUACGACUCACUCUCAUACUUUUUCAUGGAUUUGGAAACUCCCUAUCCAUCCAAAAAUUAAAACCUUUAUUUGGCUUCUUUGCCAUAAUAGGUUACCAACCAGACUUUACUUAAAAAACUCUAAUAUUAUCCAGGAUGCUACUUGUUUUUAGUAUCAAAGGGAGGAUGAAUCUAUUAAACACAUUUUUCUCGAUUGCUUAAAUGCUAGGAAAUAUUGGCAAGAAUUGGGUUUCAUGCACCUUAUUAGUUACAUCACCAACUUGCCAUGCACACAUACUUGGGUACGUGAACUCAUUUUUAAUAAAAACUCCAACCUUCCUUUCCACAUCAACUCUCAUACUUACUUACCUAUUAGUUUAUGGAAUAUUUGGCUUACACGAAACGAUAACCUGUUUAACAUGACUAGAGUUAAUAUUCUCCAUAAUCAUAUUACUCAACAAGCAGCGGAAUUUACUUACUUGGCUUCGUAUACUUGUAAAACUAAUCGUAUAAUAAAACCAGCUAAGAAUAUCAAAUUGAAUCCUCCAACUGCUCUUUGUUAUAAACUUAAUACUGAUGGAGCUUUUUCAGCUAAUACGGCAGGCAUAUGAGGAUUAAUUAGGAACUCCAAAGCUGAAUGGAUUUUAGGUUUUUCAGGAUCUGCACCACAUGAUUCAUCCAUUUUUGAAGAGCUCUACACAGGGCUUGAAAUUAGCUUAUGAAAAUAACAUUGCACCUCUGGAGGUGGAGGUAGAUGCAAAGGAUCUUAUACUAUUAUUACAUUCUGAAAAUAAUGCUUUCUCUAACUUAAUUACUGAUUGCAGGUAUUAUCUGGCCCAGCUAGGUAACCCUAUAGUCAAACACGCGUAUAGAGAGCAAAAUAUGGUAGCAGACCGACUAGCAAAAGCAAGCAUUUGGAAAGGAAUAUUUUCCAAGAGUUUUUAAACAUGUUCCUAAUUUUAUUAAAAUAACUUUUUUUACGGGACAAGGCUUGUUUGGAAGGAACCCAAUCACACCAAGACACUGCUUGGCAAAAUUACAGUGGCAAUAUGAAUUGCCUAUAUCCGUGUGUAACUAGUUGUCAUGAUAAUAAUUUCAAUAGGAUGACCAUGACAGCUAUAAAUACUAGUAGUAGUUUAGGAUUUUGUAAUACAACAAUGGUUUGUGAUAGGAUGUCAGUUAGGCCCCAGCCAUCCGUACACAGUUAUUAAAUGCUUAUAUAUAUAUAUAUAUAUAUAUUAUCUUUUCAGACAAAAAAUACCCAUAGCAAUAAACAAUCAAUUUACAAGUUACUUUCAUAACGAAAUGCCAAAACGUGAUAGUCGCGUUGUGCCAAGACAACCACCGGUAUUACAAUUGAAUCCUAAUAUUUUGCACGAUACUAAUACAAAAGAAAUUAGAAUUAACAAUAAUUACUAAACUUAAUCAUUUUAAGUUCUAUAGAACUUCUACGGGAGAAAUUAGGAUUAACAAUAAUUAAUGUUUUACUCUUAUUUUUAGAACACUCUUUAUGAGUAAACUCUUAUUUCCUACAAAUCUCACUCUCAUAGAAGUGCUAAUCUAAUAUGAAAAAUGUGCACCGUACUAUGAUAACUUAAUGUUAUACAACUACCAAGAGUGUAUAACUAUUUUGUAGAUUUGUAGACGUAGGAAAUAAGAAUCCACCCGUAAAAGACACUCUAAAAGUCUAAGAAUAUAACAAUAAUUAUAAUAAUAUGUUUUUAAACUGCGAUAUAACUGUGGUUGCUUCGAUAUAACAUAUUCCGUCCGUUUCGCGAACUAUUUCCUUUUUGAUUCGUUCCAAAAAGAAUAAAUUCCUUCUAAAUUUGAAAACAAUUUAGCUUAAACUUACAAUUCUACCCGUACUGAGAAGUUUUUAUAAACAUACAAAUUGACAAAUAGUCUGGGACACUUUUUAAUUUAUUUAUGAUCACAAAUUUCAAAAAUUUCAUUUUUUCUUAAAUUCCGUACCCAAUCAAAACAUAAAUUGGAACAUAGAGAGUAUUAAAAUACUAAUCUUUCUUUAAGUCACAUUAUGCGCAAUCUAUGUAGUAUAAAAAUUAUGUUCCUAUAACUGUACUCAAUAUUUGGUGAACGUAAGCUAUUGUAAAACUAAAAUUAAUAUACUAUAAUACUAGAAAAAGCAUCUCAGAAUAUUUUCCCCAUAAUUUUCUUCAUUUAAAGAAUCAAAGUGCAAGGAUAACGAGUUAUACUACUCAUCAUUGAUGCUUUUAUCGGAUAGUGAAGAAAUUCGCUAAAAAGAAAAAAAAUAUCAAAAAAACAAGUUGGAUCUCAGUUACAAAAAUCGUCUUCAAUCCCAUAGAUGGGAAUUCUAGAAAGAUAACGCAGUAAUAAUAUUUUCAUCAUCAUCGAUCCAAAUAAAUCAUCCAAUUAUCCCAAAAAGGCAAAAACAAAUAGUUUAAACGACACUUUUUAAAUUAUAGUUAAAAACGGGAUCUCAGCUAUAGAGAAAAGUAAUCUACAUUUCCAAUGUGGAAAUUUCAGAACUCGGAUAAAUUCUUUUUCACAUCCUCGAUCCCAUAGUAGAAAAUACAUGUAAAAAAAUUCAGUAAAUUUAACAAAACAAAUGGAAGUAGAAAUAAAUAGUCAGGAAAUUAUUGGUUGGAUCUCAGAAAAGUGAAAUACCGAAGAAAUGAUAUAUCCACAUGUUGAAUAUUUCAGUCUUUGAUGUUUCCUCAUCGAUCCAUUGCAAAAAUAAAAAAUAAAAAUAAAAACAAAAAUUAGAGAACAGCAGAGAAAAAUGAAGCACCGAUUUUGAAGAUACAGGAGAGGAAGGGUGACUGAGUGAGGAGUUUUGAGAAACCCUAGCGUCGAUUAGAAAAGAAGCUGAAAUAAGCACUAUUUAUACAGAAACUUUGAGAAGCAGAGAGAGUGGAAUACGACAGCGUUUUCGGAUAAUGCUUUUCGGAUUAGGCACUUUGCAAAUGUUGGACUAAACCCUAGCUAAUAUAGUGUGGAAAAUUUAAAUUGCAAGAUAAGUCCUCAAUUAAGUUUCUUAGACAAAUUUGACCCUUGGACUUCUUGAAAUUAUUCUCAGUUACCUUGAGAGGGGGCCUAGGCUUUAGUUCAAUACUUCAAUUAUAAGAUUGGAAUGCAAAGACUCAAGUAUUUGAAUUGAUGUUCUCAUUAGGGGAAGUAUUAUGAAUGCACGGAAUUGUGGAUGUUCAAAUUGAGAAAGUGAAUCAAUUAAAGCAAGUAAAGUAAAGAUAAGUAGAGAGACUAAUAUAUUAUUUCAUUUCAAACUUGUAUAGAGUAAAAUAUGUCAUGUUAAGUGAUUGCAUAAGGGAGUGAUACGUGGAUCCGAACGCAGAAAAUAGCCAAAACUGGAGACAACUAUUCCAUCUGUUACAAGAAAAAAUGGUGAUCAUAAAGAUGAAAGAAAUGCCUACCACCCGCAUUUAAUGGAGAAUAUUCUACAUUAUUUAAUACACUGCCCGUUAUAAAGAAUUUAUCAUUUAUGCCCACCGUUACACAUUCUUCAAUGACCCUCAUAAUUGACAUUAAAGAAGGGCAUGAUCCUGGGACCUUGUUCCCUAGGUGCAUAUAUAAAUAAUGAGCUCUAUUAUCAUUGUAAAUCACACGAAUUUUCUGGCAACCUUAUGUUAUAAUCUGUUCAAAGCUUUAUGCAGUUUGAACUUUUAGCUUUUUGAUUCUAUUAUUGUUGUACACGAAAGCACUGCUCCCGGUACCAUUGCUUAUGUUGUUUCAUUCUCAUCUCAACGCUAAGUACUGCAUAUUAUUUCAAUUCUUCUAUUAUUUUAUGAUUAAAUUAAUUCACUUAUCUAGAAAACCACGUAUAAGUUCAAAUGUAUCAUUUUACGGGUAAAUAGUUGGUGCCCACUGCGGGGCCUAGACAAUCGUGCAAUUAAGUUGGGCAUUGCCUCUUUUAUUAACAUAUUUUGAUUACUUGUUCUUAGAAAAAAAUCACAGAAAAUGGCAGACAAUGGUGUUAAUAACACACACAAUCUUAAAGCCCAAGGAGACUAGCCUCAGCAUGAGGAUUCAAUCAGUGAUACCCACAAUGAGGGUAACAACACCACGAUGGUCCAUGGCAGGCGGUACUUGCGACAUAUUCGGAAGACGACUCUUGAUGAUGCUGAAGAAGAGCAUAUUGUUGAAGCGGUGAGGGCCCCGCAGGAGCAACAACAAGUCAUUUUAGGCCACCUCACGCGACAGGAUAAGGCUAUGACAAAACUAAUAGGCGUUAUCGGGUGCUUCCAACAAUGCGAACGGACGAGGUCCAGUUCCUCCCGGUGCUCCCAAAAAUCAAACAACGUAGAGGAUCGACAACAACACCCUGAGGAGUGAGGUCGACUUCAAUGGGGCCGGGGGAAGCAGAUCCGGUCACAACAACGAGAGCAAUCCCUUCAAAAAUGAACUCUUACAAUCUUUGAGGGAAGUAAACACCUAGAUGGACCGAAUCCCGGGUGCACCACCGGUGCUGGAAGGGUCGGACUCAAAGAAGUAUAUUCAGUUGCUAUACAAACCAAGCGUGACACCAGAAUUGAUCCCGAAGUAAUCUAAAAUGCCUGACGUGCCAAAAUAUGAUAGGACUUCGGACCCUAAGGAGCAUAUUACCACCUAUACAACGGCGGUAAAGGGGAAUGAUUUAGCUCCCCACGAGAUCGAAUCUGUUUUGCUAAAAAAAUUCGAAGAGACUAUCAUGAGGGGAGCCUUGACAUGGUAUUCAUUGUUACCUGAGCAUUCCAUAUAUUACUUUGAGAUGCUCGCAUAUUAUUUCAUUAAGGCUCAUGCCGGGGCCAGAAAGGUGCAGGCCCCGAAAACUAACAUAUUCAGAAUUGCACAAGGAGAGCCUGAGUUGCUGUGAGCAUUCAUAACUCGGUUCUAGAAGGACAUGAUGUUGCUCCCGGCUAUUCUAGGUGAAUGGCCAACUGAAGCUUUCACCAAGGGUUUGAACCCGAGAAAUUUCGAUGCCUCCCAAAAAAUUGAAGGAAAGCUUGCUCGAAUUCCAGGCGACGACUAGGCAGAUGUUCACAAUCGGUAUGAGCCAAAGAUAAGGAUUGAGGAUAAUCAGCUAGGCUUCCCAUGCCGCUAAAGAUCGGGAGAAAAAUAAAGAAAAAUUAAAAGACGAUUUCUACAAAGACAUGCGAUCUUCGAGGGGUCGAUUUUUACCUUACGAAUGGGCCGAAGGACGCGACAGAGGUUUAUAGUCAGCAGACAGGUUUGUUACUGAUAGAAGAAUUAAUUGCGGCUGAAAUAACAGAUCGAUACAGGACAAGAAAGAAUCAGGUUCUCGAGAUCCUUCUUAUCCCAGAUAUUUAGAAUACAACUUCAAUGUUAGUGUAGUAGAGUUAGUAUCAGCUAUGAGAAAUAUUAAAGAAGCAUGGUUCCUAAAGCCUAUGAGGUCUGAUCUCAGCCGAAGAGAUCCUAAUUUGUGGUGCGAAUACCACGGAACGAACGGCCACCGAACUGGGGACUGUUGACAUUCGUGUGAAGAGGUGGUGAUACUACUAAAAAAUAGCCAUCUCAGGGAACUCUUAAGUGACCAGGCCAAAAAUAAUGAUAGAUGUAUCCGUGAUAACACGAAGCCCUCAAAAACAAAAGAAGACCUCUCGCGCCAGACGAUCAACAUGAUUUUCGGGAAGGGGGGAACAAGAUAAAUGAGGUUACUUUCUCGGUGGCAAAAAAGACAAAGGCAACAUUAACCCACGGCAAGAGGCUCCGGGAAGUCGCUGAGGACAACAUCACUUUCAUAGAGGAAGACACAUACGGAUUAUUGCUACCGUACAACGACGCAUUGGUAAUUUAUUAAAGUGUAUUAGAUUUUAAAAUCAAACAUGUUUUGGUGGAUCCGGGAAGUUCGACCAAUAUCAUACAAUGGAGGGUAUUGGAGCAAUCCAAACUUACCAGAAUCAUCAUACAUGCCACAAAACUCCUUGUCGGGUUCAACCUCGCAAGUGUGACAACCCGAAGAGAGAUCUUGCUACCCACAAAUGUCGAUGGGGUGAUGAAAGCGACCCUUUUUAAGGUUGUGGGUGGUGAUAUGGGUUACAACAUUAUUCUGGGAAGAUCGUGGUUUCACGAGAUGAAAGACGUACCGUCAACGUAUCAUCAGUUGCUGAAAUUUUCAACUCCCAGGGGGAUUAAAUAGAUAAAAGCGACCAACCGGCGGUAAUGGAGAUGAAUGCGAUUUUGGUCUCCAGUAGCAAAGCAAGAAGCAUGCGGCAUAACAAUUAUAGGAAUUGGCGCCUGCUUCCGAGUCAAGUGAGGCUAACUAGAGGGAAGAAGCGUCAGAAUCUUACCAGGUGCCAAGAUAUUUCCAGGUACUUGAAGAGACGGACGCAACAAAGUCUACAGCAGGAGAGCUUGAGCAAGUCGCAUUGUUUGAAAAGUUCUUGGAGAGGAAAUUCCACUUGGGGACAGGACUGCACCUCGAGCUCAUGUCUGGAUUUAUUGAAUUUCUUAAGUUUAAUGCCGAUUAUUUUGCGUGGUCGCAUGCAGAUAUGAUAGGUAUCCCGAUAGAAGUGGUCGUACACAAGCUAAGCUUGGACCCCAGCAUUCCUCCGGUGAGAUAAAAGAAAUAUCAUAUUGCCAAGGCCAUGAAUAAAUUCGUCAAAGAGGAGGUAACUCGUUUACUUGAUAUAGGUUCGAUCUGAGAGGUAAAGUAUCCAGACUGGCUAGCUAACGUAGUAGUAGUUCCUAAGAAGAACAAUAAAUUUUGCUUGUGCGUGGACUAUAAGGACUUGAACAAGGUCUUCCCAAAGGACUCGUUCCCACUACCAAACAUCAAUCAAAUUAUUGAUGCAAUGGCUGGGCACGAGUUAAUGAGUUUCCUCGAUGCUUAAUCCGGGUACAACCAAACUAAGACCGGAGGAUUAGGAAAAGAUUUCGUUCAUAAUGAAUUUUGGCACAUAUUGCUAUAAUGUGAUGCCCUUCGGGUUAAAGAACGCCAAAGCCACUUAUCAGCGGCUCGUAAACAAUAGAUUUGAAAAACAGAUAGGGAAAAUCAUGGAAAUUUAUAUAGAUGAUAUGUUUGUUAAGUCGUUGAACGCAGGUUACCAUCUUAAGCACUUGCAAAAAACUUUUGACAUCCUAAGGAAGCAUAAUAUGAAGCUUAAUCCUGCGAAGUGCACGUUCGGGGUCAGCUCCGGCAAAUUUAUAGGAUUUUUGGUGUCACAAAGGGGGAUUAAGGUAAACUCCGAUAAAAUCAAAGCCAUCGAAGAUAUCCCUGACUGGCUGUCAAGUGUGAAAGAAGUUUAAAGGCCCACAAGGAGACUGGACGCUAUAAUCAGGUUCAUUUCCCGAUCAUCAGAAAAAUGUUACCGUUUCUUUUCAUUACUAAAGAAGAAGAACAACUUUGAAUGGACCCUGGAAUGUUAGCAGGCUUUAAGGGAUUUGAAAAGAUACUUGUCAAGCCCUCCAUUACUAUCAAAGCCGAAGGAAGGUGAAAAAUUGUUAAUCUACCUAGCAUUCUCGGAGGUAGCGGUAAGCGCAGUUUUAGUCCGUGAGGAUGAAGGUACGCAAUCCCCCAUUUAUUACGUUAAUAGAAUUUUAACGGGAGAAAAAACUCACCACCCAUAUUUGGAAAAGCUAGCCUUAGCUCCGUAGUCGCUGCUCGAAAGUAGGGGUGUUCAAAACCGAACCGAAACCGAAAAUCGAACCACAAAAGUGGCUUAAUGGCUUAUUGGUAUCAAGUUAACGGUUUAGCGAAUGGGGAACAUAUUGAAUUUUUUUUAUUAACGGCUUAUCGGUUUGGGGGCGGAUUAUUCAAUUUUCUUAACAGAUAAUCUGUUAACCCGUUAAGAAUAUAGAUAUUUAGAUUUUAGACAUUAGAAACCCUAACAGCCUAACAUCUAAAAGUCUAAUUUCACCCAGCGGCCAGAGCAGCAGACUCGUCGUCUCCCUCUUGCCGACUCGCCUCUCUAUCUCGCCGACUCGUCGUCUCGCCUUUCCCUCUCUCCAUAGCCAGAACAUCAGAUGGUAAGUUUCUUUUCCUGUUGAUGUCUUCAGAAUAUUCGGUCCUCACUAUUGUUUACACCUUUAAAAUCAGAGAGCAUCUCAAAGUAUUCAGCCAUUUCACGGAUCUCCAAUCACUGAGAUUUCUCCUGAAAUUGACAUUCCAAUUGUUGCCUUCUCUGCCUUGUGCUAUUUUGAGAUUGAUUUUGACAGUUUUUGUUUAAAUAUCCGUUAAGCAACUUGUUAUUUUCAUUCCUUUUCUUUUCUUGUUGCAGUGACUCAUAACAUGGUUGAAAAUAUACAAAGUGACAAGGUGAUGGGUGAAAGUGGGGCUUCUAAUUCAAAUGCAAUAAGUCAAACUGAAACAACGGAGUCAAAUAUAACCAAAAAAAAGAAAAAAAGGCCUGUUGUGUGGGAUCAUUUUACAAAAUUUAUUACUUCCUAAGGGAGUACAAAAGCAAAAUGUGACUAUUGCUUUAUUGAGUAUUGUUUUAAGACCAAAAAGGGUACGUCGACACUUCUUUCUCAUAUGUCCUAAACGCCCUACUAUUGUUGAUAAAAAACAAUCAAAUUUAGGCUUUCAAUCUGUUCCGGGGGGUAGUCAGGGUGACGUAGUUGUUGUUACUUGAAAUUUUGAUCAAGAAGAAUGCAGGAAAGCGUUAGGUUGUAUGACAAUAAUAGAUGAGCUUCCCUUCAGCUUUGUUGAGAAAGAAGGUUUUAAAGACUUCAUGAAAGUGGCGUAACCUUAUUUUCGGAUCCCUUCCUAUAGUUCUGUAACUAGGGAUCGUUUUUUAUCUUUUUAAUGAAGAAAAGCAAAAGUUGAAGAGGUCUUUUAUAGAAACGAAACAAAGAGUAUGUAUUACCACUGAUACCUGGACUUCUAUAUAAAGAAUCAAUUACAUGUGUAUCACUACCCAUUAGAUUGAUAGUGAAUGGAAUAUGCAUAAGAGAAUAAUUAAUUUUUGUCCUAUUAUUAGUCAUAAAGGCGAAGAUAUGGCAAAUGGUAUUGGAAGGUGCUUACGUAAGUUGGGGGAUAAAUAAGAUCUUCACUGGCACAAUUGAUAAUGCAAGCUUAAAUGAUGUAACAGUAAAAGAAUUAUCUAAGCAAUUAACAAAAAUGGAAACUAACUUGAUGAACGAUAAUCACCUUCACGUGAGAUGUACGGCUCACAUCAUGAAGUUUGUGGCCAGGAUGGUUUACAAGAAUCCUCAGUGUCUAUUGAAUGUGUUAGACAUGCAGUGAGAUAUGUUAGGAAGUCUCCUGCGAGGUUGAAGAUAUUUCAAGAAUGUUUUGAUGAUGAACAACUCAAUUGUAAAAAAAACUUUAUGCUUGGAUGUUCCAACUAGGUGAAAUUUCACCUACUUGAUGUUGCACAAGGCUGUUGAAUUUGAAAGUGCAUUUUCAAAUUAUGCUUCUAGUGAAAUUGGCUUGAGACAUUAUCUUGAGCAUUCUUAUAUUAAAGUUGAAAUUCCUAUAGGUGAACUUUUGAGUAGUGAUUUGGAGAAUGUAAAAAGAAUUACAAAGUUUCUUGAAAUCUUCUAUCUUCUUACUCUUAAAAUAUCUGGAUCACGUUAUGUUACAUCGAAUAUUCAUUUUCUUGAAAUUUGUGUGGUUGCUGUUUAUUUGAAGUAAUUGAUAGCAAAUGAAGAUAUAGUUUUAAGUGAAAUGGCAAAGAAGAUGAAAGAAAAGUUUGAUAAGUAUUGGGGUGAUCUAGGGAAUAUGAACAAGAUAAUUUUCAUCUCAUGUAUUUUGGGUCCAUGUUACAAGCUCGAAUCAGUUGGCUAUGUACUUGUAAAGAUGUUUGGUGUAGAUCCCGGGGCAACUAUGCAAUCAGAAGUGAAAAAGUACACGACUUCAUUAUUUAGUAAGUAUGUAAAAUUCAGCUCAAAAGGUGUCGUGCUUGCUUCUUCUUCAGAUUGUUCUUCAUUGGACACUUCUACUUCUGGGCUUUCUAGCAGUCAAGUAAGCACCCAAAAUACAGGACUUUUAGAAUCACUCAUGCAAGAUAUAAAAAAUAUAAAAGUGAGAGUAGAGGUGUGGAUACUAGAACAAAGUUAGAUAGAUAUUUUGGUAAAGAAACCGAGGAUGAUACUAAAGAAUUUGAUGUUCUUCUCUGGUGGAAAUUGAACUCAGCUAGAUUUUCUUUUCUUGAGGAGAUGGCUCGUGAUGUAUUAGCUGUUCCGAUUUCAAGUGUGGCAUCCGAAUGUGCGUUUAGUAUGGGAGACGUCUUCUUGAUUCAUUUAGGAGUUCAUUAACUCCUAAAUUGGUGCAAGCUCUAGUGUGUCUUCAAGAUUGGCUUCGAAAUGAAAAAAUAAAAUAACAUGUUAGUGUUGAGGAAAAUCUUGAUAAAAUCGAGCAGCUUGAACAAGGCAAUAAUAUUGUUACUAUAUUUGUUGUAUAUAAGUGUUGUGGAUAUGCUUAUAUUUAUCGCACGACUCAUUAUUUUAAUUUUUUUCUUCAGAUUUAGCCAGUGAUAGAAAAGACCCUUCCAUAAUUGACGUGUAGUGUUAAUAUAUCUAGUAAGAAUUCGAAUUGUAAUAUAGUGUUAAUAAAUCUGUUAAUACGUUUAUCGCAUUACUCAUGUUUGUGCAUAAUUUUAAUUCUGUUACAAGAAAUCUUUUUCUAAAAUAUCUUUAUGUGUGUCCUAGAGCUUUUUGGCAGUUAUCUGUUGGUGAAGUGGAGAGCUUGUCUCCCAGUCCCUUGGACACAUACAACUACUACUAUCUUAUCUGUUGGGUGAGUAGUUAUCUCUAGUUGUAUUCUGGACUUCAUCGUGGACAUGCCUGUUGAGGCUGAUGCAGUUAUAUGGAGGACAUUACUAAGUUCGUGCCACAUUCAUGAUAUUAAUGACAAUACUGGAGUGGGAUAGAAGGUCAGAAGGAGGUUGCUUGCAUUGGAGCCUAAAAGGAGUGGGAAUUUGGUUAUGGUAGCAAACAAGUAUGUUGAAGUUGGAUUAUGGGAGAAAACAACAAAACUGAGAAGAGGUAUGGGGGUCAGACGACUUAAGAAGGUAGCUGGAGAAAGUUGUGUGCCAAUCUAUUAGAUUCUAUGGAAAUUAUUCUCAAGUUGCUGAGGAAGUUGUUCCUAAACAAACAUAGUUCACAUCAACAUGAUUAAAAACAAUAUGACUGGUCCAAUAUAUGACUAGUUGUUCAACAUGCAAGAUGUUGUAAAGUAUCACUUGAACUUUGACAGGUGUAAUUGCCAUGUUAGGAAGUGUUAAGUGUUAAUAGUGAUUUGUUAUCUCUGCGUAAUGUGUAUAGAUUAAUCAUUUUGACAGAUGUAUUCCGGACUCACUUUGUUAUCUCUGUCAGUGUAUGGAUUAAUCAGGUACUAGCAAAUAGUGACUUAAGCAUGUGUAAAUUAAAUGGUAUGUACGUCAUGUGCAAUUGAAAUUUGCAACCAUUGCUCCAAUAUCUUAGUCUGCUUUGAACUCAAAGCAACGUAUUGUGCACUAGAAAAUUUCUCUAGUGUUCAAAGGUGUCAAUUUUGGUGUAACAACUAACAGGAUGUAACCUGAAGGACCAAAAUAGUCAUCUGUAACACAAAUUAAACUAGGUCGAUAAAUCGCCCGAUAGGAGCUAAACUGAUACCAAUCCGUCUGAUAUCUUAUCGGGUGGCUAGCAGAUUAAUACAUUUAAAAGCUGAUAAUCGAUAAGCCGAACCGUUAAAAGUAAAUAACCACCUGAUCUGCCCGAUAAGCAGCCCUACUCGAAAGAUGAGGCCUUACUUCCAAUGUCACCCGAUAGCUGUGGUGACCACCUUUCCCCUGCGGAAUAUCCUUCAUAAACCCGAACUCUUGGAUAGGUUGGCCAAAUGGUCCGUUCCGUCUAAAUGAGUGAAUUCGACAUAGAAUACAAACCUAGGACUGCGAUUAACUCACAAGUUUUGGCCGACUUUGUGGCCGAUUUUAGUCUAGGACUGCUGCCUCUAGUAACCAAAGAGGCAGUGAUAGUGUCGGAAUCGCCAUCGGGAGUUUAGACCAUGUUUACAGAUGGAGCUUCCAACGUAAAGGGGUCCGAUCUCGGCAUAGUAUUGAUCAUGCCUUCGGGAGAAACCGUAAGGCAUGUCAUAAGAACGACCCCUUUGACUAACAAUGAAGCAGAGUAUGAAGCUUUGAUUGUAGGACUCGAAUUGGCCCGGAGACUAGAUUCUGAGGUCAUAGAAAUCAAAUGCGAUUCCCAGCUGGUGGUAAAUCAGGUUUACAUGAUCUUCGAAAUCAAAGAGGAGCGCAUGCAACAAUACAUAGUGAAGGCUCAAGCUCUGCUUGAUCGGUUCCAGGAGUGGUCAAUUAUGUAUAUCUCGAGGGAAGAAAAUGCAGAAGCGGAUGUAUUAUCUAACCUUGGUUCAUCAACGGAAAUGAAAGGAUCAGAUUUUGGGAUGGUAGUACAGAUCACACACUCGGUUCUGCACACAAAUAGCUACUAUAAAGUGAAUACGACUAAUUUGGUCUGGGGAUGGAGGAAUGAGAUCAUAGAUUAUCUUGAACACGAGAAAUUUCUCGAAGACUCCAAGGCAUCCCGGCCGCUGCACGCCAAAGGAGCACGAUAUAGCUUCAAAGGAGGUCAACUAUACAGGAAAUCUUUUCAAGGCCUGCUGGCCUGAUGCUUGGGAACUUCCGAGGCUAAUUAUGUUAUGUGAGAUGUCCACGAAGAGAUAUGUGGAAGUCAUUCGGGCAUAAACUCCUUGGUACUAAAAUUGGUAAGGGUAGGAUACUAUUAGCCCUGAAUGGAACAAGACGCCAAAGAAUUUGUACAAAAUGCGAUAAGUGUCAACGCUACGCGCCACUGGUACAUCAACCAUAAGCAGAACCAUUGCACUCAGUUCUGUCUCCAUGGACAUUCAUGAAGUGGAGAAUAGAUAUCGCCGGACCACUACCGCUGACUCCUAGCAAGGUAAGAUUUCUUUUAAUUUUGACUAAUUAUUUUUCUAAGUGGGUUGAAGUAGGUCCUUAUCAGAAGAUCGGCGAACGUGAAGUGGUGGAUUUCUUAUAGAAGAAUAUAAUUUGCAGAUUUGAAAUACCAAAAGAGAUAGUCUGCGAUAACGGGCCACAAUUUAUAGGCGCAAAGAUCACAAAGUUCCUUAAAGACUUGAAAAUCAAAACAACCACAUCUUCGCCCUAUUAUCCGAGCAUAAAUGGUCAAGCAGAAUCAACGAAAAAAGUGAUUAUACAAAAUCUCAAAAAGAGAUUGGAAGCAAAUAAAGGUAAAUGGCAUUGAGGAAUUACCUGGAGUGCUAUGUGCAUACCGAACAAUGGCCAAGUCGAGCAUAGGAGAAACUCAUUUCUCUCUUGUGUACAGAGCAGAAUCCUUAACCCGAUGGAAGUAGGGGAGCCUACCUUGAGAUAUUUCUAAGCAAGUGAAAAGGCAAAUAACAAAGCAAUGCUAGUCAACUUGGAGCUACUCGAUGAGAGCAGGGACUUGGCCCAUAUAAGGAUGGCAACCUAAAAGUAGAGAAUAGAAAGAUAUUAUAAUCGAAGAGCCAACCUCCAUUAUUUCAAAGUUGGAGACUUGUUUCUAAGGAAAGUAACUCAAAACACUCGGGAACUCAACGCAGGGAAGCUAGGUCCAACAUGGGUAGGCCGCUACCGGGUUUUAGCUAUCACCGGAAAAGGUUCAUACAAGUUGGAGAAUCAAGAUGGAGAAAAGUUUCCAAACACCUGGAAUGUGGCACACCUCAAGAGAUAUUAUUGCUGAAGAACAUCACAUGUACUGAAUGUAUGUGCUCCACUCUUUUUCUCUUCGUACAGUUUUUGUCCCGAUCGGGUUUUUCUAGCAAGGUUUUUAAUGAGGCUGCAACGGAAAGCAUACUACAAAAAAGUUUCAACAGCAGCAAUAAGACCUUCUAAUAACAAGGCACACAAGCGAAGAAUCACAUGGGCGGUUAGAUAAUCUUUCAUUCGAUAGCAAGUUCCUACUGGUAAGUUAAGUUUGCUAUCGAACAAAGUUUACCCGACCGCUCACAAGUGCAAACUAUUAGGGAAUUGUUAGAUAGUCUUUGGCUCAAUAACAUAAAUUCCUAAGGGGAAGUGAAAUUCGUUAUUGAACUGAAGAUUAUCUAGAAUUUCAUUAGUGGAGUCCUCGAAGGUGCAAAAGUUCUAGUGUUCAAAUUUGCAUUCAUCGCAUUCGAACACUGGGGGGAUGAUAUGAGGAUACGAAAACAAUGACUACCAUGUCGACCGGAGUACGAAAAUCAAAAACAUAGUUGUAUCAUCGGAAUCGAGGACUGCAUGGUCAGGCCCAUAGAAAUAAGUUGUACAAGUUAGCCUCAAGAAAUGGCAAUUUCUUUUUAGCAUAACGAAUGCUUAUGUAAUUUUUGAAAAUGUAAGGAAUAAAGUAAAGUUCUUUUAUUUCUAUCUUGUUUCUUGUCUGAACGAUGGAUUGAUUUUUUCAUUUGAAACUUAAACAAGUACUUCAAGUGCUAGUGCCGUAAUGAACAGGAGACGUCCUCUUCAACAAAAUCUUAAACAUAAGAGGGCCCUCUCUUAUAAAAACCCUCACGAUAAAAGGUUGAUUUUGGAAGAACUUAUGCAAAGAAUCCAAAUGCUUUCGGGGAAAAAUGCACCCGAAGCCUUGCACAAAAAGACGCAAAAAAACAAAAUUGCACAGAUACUUGAAUGAAAAAAGAUGCAAGAAAUAAACUUGCACAAAACACUUAAGCAAGAAGGAACACAAAGAUUAAAACUUGCAUGAAUGUUCAAACAAAAGAACACAAAAACACUCAUGCACUACUUAAGAAAAAGAUGUUUUUAUUUACAAUAAAAGUACCAAAAUGGCACAAGUACAAAAAUUGGAAAAAGAAAUGAAAAGCUAAACUGCUGCAUCUCCGGAACCCGGAGGAAGAGAAGCAUCCACACCCCUAGGGGAACUGGGUAGAUCCGUAGCCUGUUCUAUGUCUUGUUAUUCAUCAUUUUGGCCCUCAACAUCGUCACCUUCCGGUUCCUUUCUAGUUUUACAGAACUCAAAACUGAAACCGGAACCAGAAGAAUCGGUAGCAUCAGGACUAGCUGAAAGACCUCUUUUUGCGGCUAACUCCAACUCAAGGGCCUUAGUAAUUUUAGCGUCAAAAUCUACGACACCCGCUUUGGCCUAUUCCAAGGCUUUUCUCCUCAAGCUAUACAUAGAAUGAAUUUUUUCAACAAUGAGGGAAGUCGCUCGGCAUUAAAGUUCUUAUUUAAGUUGGUCAACCUCAACAGAAAGAUUCUCCCGCACGAACCUAACAGACCGGAGGUUAACAUCGAGAUUACAGAUAGUAAAUCUGAAAAGUCUAUUAUGCUCGAUAGUCCUCUUAUACUUGUUAUCCAAUUGGACAUAUUUCGCCCCGAUAGUAGCAAGCUCUUCAGUUUUGGAGUUCAAGGAUGCCUCUAAAUUAUUUGAUCUUUCAGCAGAGGUAGCCUCACGAUCGGAUUCAGCAAGAACAACGCUAUGGACUUCAACCCAUUUGGCCUUAGCCUCUUUAAAUUGAACCCUCAGCGGGGUGAUCUCCUAGCUAAGGGUCUCUGCUUCUUGCUCACUUUGCUGUAAACGAUCCUCCAACAUAGCAGCCUCCGCAGCUUUGGCUUCCAGUUCUAAGAGGCGAGCAAUAGUUUGGUCCCGCUCGGCUAAUAGUUGAUCCCACUCGGAGGUAAGUUCCUCCUUUUCCUAAUUCAACAUUUGGAUGCCCUCGGAAGCAAGGAAAUUAGCCAGCGAAACAAGAAAGUCAAAUUCAAAAAUAAUACUAAAUCAAAGAUAGAAGAAAUGACAAAGAAAAUGAAGAAUAUACCGUUGAGGCAUUGUGCAUAGUAUUGUUCAACAAGCACUCUCCCGAGAGAUCCUGUAUCUUUUCCCAAUCUUUUUCUAAAGCCAAAGGCUUCAGAUAGUUAGCAGGUUCCACCGACCAGGACAAUGGAUUGCAUCUGUUGGAGACAAAGAGAGUAACGUUUUUCCUCCUCCUUUGCGGAUCUUCUAAGGGGGCGGCAUAAUUUCCCCCCAAAUUCCCAUGAACUAGGGACUGGGAAAGAGGAACAUCCUCUUCUCGAACAGAUGCGGGUGAUAUAGAUGAUGCAACAGUUGCUGAUGGAAGAGUGGGUGAAGAAGGUGAUGUAGAUGAUGGCAUUGAAGAGUGAGAAGCAGCUGCGGAAAAUGCAGUUCUGGUUGUUGGUUGCUCAUUAACUAAAGAUGUCAGGGGUACUCAGCCUCACGGUACCGAGCAUAGCGACUGUGAUCGAGCAAUAGAGUUGGCAUUUUCUACCAUCUUAAACUCCCAGCAAAGUACCAAGACAUCAUUCUCGGUUGGUGUAACUAACUUAACAGGUUGAGAAUUCUGUUGAGUUGAUGAUGAUCGUCGUCUUCUAUGUAGAGAAGCUCCCUCAUCACUAGCUUCUCCAUCAUUGUUAAUCAUUAUGGUGUUUAUGGCCGGCCUGGACGGAGGGCUCGUCACCAUAAAUUCUGGAGAUGACUCUAGGGCAACAUUCUUCGCCCUCUUAUUCUUUCCCCGACCACAGAGGAACACUUUCUUUUUGGUUACUUGUUCUCUGGUAUGGACUCCGAGAAGAAACACUUGCACCCGAAGCAGGGCUAGAGAUACCUGUUUGAGUAAGCGCCUCCUAAAGUAGCCUCGUUGCAUCAACAGGAUCAGCCAAAACAUCCUCCUCGGGGACGACAACCGAGCCCUGGGUUAGACCUGAAUUCGGCAAAGAGAGAAAGGAUUAAUCAAUUUCCUCACACAAAAAGCAAAGACGAGAUGCGUCUAAGUUACCAUGAUUUUUGGCCUUCCACCCGUAUUUAAGGGCCAAUUUUUUCCAUGUGGGGAUUUCGGGUGUAGUGACAUCCAAGUUUUUUGGACCCACUGGUCCAAGCCUUCAAUUCUAUGUGGAACCCACUGAGUUGCUGAAACAGGCGAAAUAAGGAGGAUCGAUAAGGAUAUGGGAAAAUUUAUAAUGAAAGAAAUAUUAAACAAGGAGUUUACGAGUGUGAUUCCAUGAUUCCGGAAAGGAUGAAGCCAUUGCCAAAAUGAUAUCACUAGUGGCAACUGUAGCGAAUCGUUCCUCUACCCACGGUCGUUGUCAUCAUCCAUGCUAGAUAGUAGAGCAUGGUAGCCGCGUUUGCUGAAAAUUAUCAUUCCCCCACGAAAGAUUUUGAGGGAAUAGAGGUUCAUCACAUGAGCUAGGGAUAGCUCAUCUCUCAUUUCUUAGCACAAGCGCCGAAGUCAAGCAAUCGUCCUCCACACAGAAGGACUUAAUUGAGUCAAACAUACCUGAUAGCGGAGACAAAAAUUUGCAAUAAUGGAAUCAAGCUCUCCAUUCAGACAAAACGCUCCCAAAGUAAAGGGAUACGUGUGAAAGUAUGUAAAGCCCUCUUUGGGUAGGGUUACCCGCUCCGCCAAAUCAGGAGUGAUAAUGUCAAAAUCUUGGCAACGACAAUCUUCAUUCACAAUAGGAAUACUGGAAGGACGGAUGGAAGAAGGGUAUCUGUCAACAACCCAUGUAUGAGAGUUAGCAGAAGGAAACUUCUUUUUGAAAUCUUUGGUGGUAAUUAGGCUCUGUUCGACGAUUCUACUCACCAUAGGGGGAGCGACAUCAUCAGUUUUGGCUUUGUUCUUUGAAGAACUAGGUUUUCUUGAAGAGGAGGACAUUUCUUAUCAGUGAAAGAGUUAACUCUCAAAGAAGGAAGUCAAAGAAAGGUUGAAGUUGGAAGAUGAGUUGAGUAAAGAAAGUCUUAGAAAAUUCAGAGUGUUAUGAAGUGUAAAUUAAGGAAGUUGAUGCUUAUAAGUAAAGGUUUAAGCGGCUAAACUCGUGACCAUAAUUACCUCGAUAUCUGGCAAAGGUUAUGUUGAAUCAUGUGAUGACACGUGGUCGGGCAUUAAAUGCGGAGAGACACACAUCAAAUCAACCGUCAGAAACUUUUCAGAGAGGGUUAGUGAAAUUUUCGCCAAAAAAAUAUUUCUACCAACUUCCCGGUGACACAAAGACUACGUCACUGUAAAGUAGGGGGGCUAUUUGUAUAGGGUAAAAUAUGCUAUGUUAGUGAUUACAUAAGGGAGUGACACGUGGAGCCGAAUGCAGAAGAUAGCCAAAACCGAAGACAACUAUUCCAUAAGUUACUGGAAAGAAUGGUGCUCAUAAAGAUGAAAUAAAUGUCUACCACCCAGUAGCAUUUAAUAGAGAAUAUUCUAUAGCACUUAGUACACUGCCCAUUAUAAAUAAUUUGUCAUUCAUGCCCGCCGUUACAAUUCUUCAAUGACCCUCAUAAUUGACAUUAAAAAGGGUGCAUGAUCCUAGGACCUUGUUCUCUAGGUGCAGCUAUAAAUAAUGGGCUCUAUUAUCAUUGUAAAGUACACGAAUUUUCUGGCAAACUUAUGCUAUAAUCUGUUCAAAGCUUUAUACAGUUUGAUUUUUUAGCUUUUUGAUUCUAUUAUUGUUGUACCUAGGGCUGCUUAUCGGGCGGAUUGGGCGAUUUUUUACUCUUAACGGUUUGGCUUAACGGUUAUUGGUUUUUAAAUGUAUUAAUCCAUUAGCCACCUGAUAAGAUAUCGGGCGGAUUGGUAUCAGUUUAGCUCUUAUCGGGCGGUUAUCGGCCUAACAUACAUAUUCACUAAAUUGUGUUUUCCCUGUUGGACAUGAAAUAGCUGAACUGAUUAUAGAGCAUGAAUCAGAAGCAAUGUAGAGGUAAGUGGUUCAACACUUUACGAAGAAAGAUAGUAAUCCAGUUUCACAAAUGAUGAUUGAGGCCAACAAGGAAAGUGCUAGAGGACAUUGUCUUCAGAAUCAUAGUCUCCGGCUGAAUUUAAAGAAUAGAACACCACCAAUCAUCACAAAUGAGAAGCAUGAUACAAAAAGCACAAUAAAACGCGUGGCAACAUUUUUAUCUAGUUGUAUGUUGAACAAAUAUAUUAACCGUGCUAAACUCCAUUGAUGUCUUUCAGUGAAGGAAAUGAUACAUCCAACUGAAGUAGUGCCACAUAUAUACACUACUUAUUUAAUUUAGUGAAUAUGUAUGUUAGUAUGAAACUUGAUUACAUUAAAUUCCUUUCACUCUCUUCUUCUGCAACUUCUACUUAAGAAUAUAAAAUUUAGCAGACAUCAUCAAACAACAAAAAGAACACUAAGUUACUCUUUUGCACAGAAAAAUGCUUCUAUAUACAGAGCAAAUAAACACCAUCGCAAGUGUACUUUAUGAGCUGUCCCAAUUAGGAGCCCACAAAAUUAACUAGCGACCUUUUUUUUCUUACUGCUCGUGACAUACAAAAAUCAGAUCAAGAUAGUGAGGAUACUUGCUAAAGAUCUUCAGGACUGUACUAAUAAGUCAGCAGAGCUACAAACAGUUUUACAAGUAAUACAAUGGAGUGUCUGGAAUAAUUAGAAAGAAAUCAUGUUAGGGAUGGACUUACUAUUAGUGAUAAACAUGUUUAAUGGUAAAGUAACAGUUCCAUGGGAACAUCAGUCAGGUAUUCUAGAGAUAAGAAGAGGUAUACAACAGAUAAAGUUGGUUCAUUGUUAUAGAGAAGGUAACUGUGUGGCUGAUGCCUUGGCACACAGUUACAUAUUUGCAAAGAUAGCACUAACUAUACACAUUUGCAAGAUUGCCAGCACCUAACUUCUUGUGCAUCCAGUCAAUGAUAUCUUGAGCAAUAGUCACAUUUUGCUUUUGUACUCCCUUCAGAAGUAAUAAUUUUUGUAAAAUGAUCCCACACAACAGACCUUUUUCUCCUUUUCUUGGUUAUAUUUGACUUUGUUGUUUGAGAUUGACUUGUUGCAUUUAAAUAGAAACCCCACUUUCACCCAUCAUCACCUUAUUACUUUUAAUAUUUUCAGCCAUGUAUGAGUCACUGCAACAAGAAAAGAAAAGGAAUGAGAAUAAAGACAUCAAGUUGUAAACUAAUUGUAUUUGGUUAUUAAAGUGGAACACAUUUAUAACAAAGAAAUAGUGUAAUUGUAUUUUAAACUUACUAAUUUAAACUUUAUAAUUUUUAAAUUUGCCUAAAUCCAACAUAUCUAAUAUAGAUGUCUUUAUUCUCUAUAAUCUGAUAUAAAUUACUAUAUUAGAUGUCGACUUCCACCAGCCACGAUAAUCUGAUAUGAAUUACAUAAAUUACUUCACAAACAGGAAAAUUUCAAAAUUGUAUAGGCUUCUCGUUAUAAUAUAAAACACUGUUUUAUUAAUUUUAGAUUAAACCUAAAGUUAAACCAAACUGAAGUUAUUACCUGCUAAAGUUAAACCUAAAGUUAAACCAAACUGAAGUUGUAAACAUCCUAGUAAUUUAAUAACUAAAUACGAUUAAUUUGCACAGUAUAAAACAUAAGAACAGAGAAAUGAAGACGAAGAAGAAAACCCUACAAUUAUCAAAAUCAACAACUUCUUCAACUACUUGAGUUGCCUCAUAUUGCACCUCUACUAUAGUAGAAAUUUGUGAGAAAUACUCCUAUUUAAAGUCUCAGCAAAAACCAAAAAAUCUUAUUCAUAAGUAAGAGUACCUGGAUAAGAAGAUAAGAAACCGCGACUCGCGAGAGGGAGAGACGAGACAGCAAGAGGGAGACCGGUGGUUGGUGGAAGUCGACGACGACUGUUGGCCGGUGGGCGGUGGCUGCUGGUUUAGGCAUUAGGUUUUCUUUGGAAUUAGGAAUAGACAAGUUUGUUUAGAGACAGAACAGACUGGGUUUAGAGUUUAGAACAUAACAGACGGGUUUGUUUUUGUUAUUUAUUUUCAAGGGUUUUAGUUUUUUUUUAUAUUUAAUAUAUAUAAAUAAAACUCUCUAGGCCAUUAUCUGACCUUAAAUAUUUUAGUUUGAUUUGAAAUUGAGUUUCAAUGAGAGACACAAAGGCUUUUAUAGUUUGCAAGGCAUUGCUUUUACAGCUUAGGAGAUGGGUCCAAGUGGACCUGCUAUAGUCAUCUACUAGGGUGAGGAAGUAUUUAAAAUUAUUGUGAGUUGCCACAUGGUAAGGUCCCCAUAAGUCCACAUGGAGAAGAUCAAAAGCUUUGGUGGUGAUACUGGUUCUUUGAGGGAAAGGCAAUUUAGUCUACCUUGCCAUGGGACAGAGGAAUGGUUGUUUGGGUGAGAACUGGAUUGGUAUUGAAGAGAUACCUCUCAUUUUGACAAAAGGUACAUAUCCCAGCCUAUUGUGCCACAAUAAAUCUGCAUCAAUGUUAUUAGACAUGGAAGAAUGCAAAACUGAACUCUGAGUUUUAUUGCACGUGGGUAUAUUUACAAAUGAGUGAUAAGGCGAAUGUGACCUAUUUACAUCAUGUGAAGCAGGUAAAGUAUGAAAUGGAAAUGAGCAGUUGGCAGUAGAUGUAGCAGAACAAGAGUGCUUCAAGCAGCUUGAGCAAAGAAGGUAUAAUCCAUCCUCGACCUUACCAAAUCUCCAAAGGCCUCUUCAUUGAAGGGGCCUGUAGAAGACAUAAAGAAUCAGAGAAGGCAACUAAACUUUUAAGUUGGGAAGUUAGGCAGUGAAUAGAGAUCAAAUUAUAUUUGAAAGAAGGAACAUAAAAGACUUUAUGCAAGAUGAUCUGAGGUGCAAGUGUAACAGUCCCAAUUUCAGUCACUUUUACUCGAUAACCAUUUGGUAGGUUAAUUAACAAGGGAUAUGGUAAGACUAUAGUAUUAGACAAGAGGGACUUAUUGAAGGUCAUGUGGUUGGAAGCUCCUGAGUCUAGGAUCCAUAUAUCAGUACUUGAUGUAAAACAUUUGCAUAAUAAUAAGCUAUAAUCAAUGGAGGGAACAGAAGCAGAGCAAGCCAUUGUACCUGCAAAAUUCACAACUCCAUUAGGAAUACUGGAGGUCUUUUUACCAUUUCUAGAAUGAAAAUGCUGUAGCAGGGAAACUAGUUGCCAAUAUUGUUCUUUGGUUAAGUUGACAUUGGAGUUGCAGUUGCCUUCUAGAGAUUCCACUUCUUCCUGUUUGCCAGAGUUGGUUUCAGGUGUACAUUGGCCACAGUUCUCUUUCCUCUGUUAAAUUUGGGAUUUGGAUUUGAGUUGAACCCCUGGGGUUAUCCAUGCAGCUUAUAACACUUUUCUUUGGUAGUAGUCACAAAAAGGACGUGGUCUGGUGAUAUUAGGAGGGUAAUUGCAGGGAGAAUAGUUGGUUCUAAAAUUGUUGUUCCUUGAUGUGUCAACAUUGAACGAGACAGAAUCUGCAUAUUGUUGGCCAUUUCUGAUAUUACUCCUCGGGACACGGAUAUUUAAAGACGAAGAAUCCAUCAUAACAUGAUUGUUUGGCUUAACUUCCCUCUGCUUCUCUUCUUGAACUAGUAGGAAAAUGCUUGUGCCAUAGAAGGCAAGGGGUUCAUCAUAAGAAUGUUGCCUCGCACAGUUGUGUACACUUUAUUCAGGCCCAUCAAAAACUGAAUCAAACGCCUGUCUUGUUCAGCUUUAGGCAUACUUUCCUUAGCACCACAUGUGCAUUGACAGGUGCACUGUGUCUUGGCACUCAGUGUACUCAGUUCCUCCCACAGCUUCUUCAUUUUAGUGUAAUAACCUGUGAUGUCCAAAACUCCUUGAGAAAGAUCAUUAAUUUCCUUCUGAAUUUGAUAUAGUUUGGUUCUGUUGGUCAAAUCGUAGCGAUCCUCCAACUCUUUCCACAACUCGACGGCAUCAUUUGCAUAUUCAACAGUCAGCAAUCUCCUUGGCAAGAGAAUUUAGGAUCCAUGAUGUAACCAUAUCGCCGCAUCGUUCCCAUAGUCGAAAUUUCGAAGGCUCUUUCUCUGGAUCUGGUCAUUUGCAUUCACCAUUGAUGAAAUCUAAUUUGUUUUUGACAGAUAGGGCUUGCAUAACACUCCUUCUCUAGGAUAUGUACCCUAAACCACCGAAAGUAACUGGAACUAACAUCGUGCCGUGGAUUAUUUGAAGGAUGCAUGUAAAGAGGACUACUAGCAUCGACACCGGACUCCACCUCGAGGACAGAUGGGGAACCAUCGGACUCAGUACUCGAAUCAGUGAUAGCCACGGGAUAGGACUCAAUUUGAUAAAGAUAGAAUCAAAAAUCGAAGAGAGAAAAGACAGAUCGAACAAUUGAAGAUAAACGAUCUUCUAGGGCAAAACUCAAAAAAUGAAAAAUUGGGGAAAAGGUUCAAUUGACCUUAUUGAAGAUGAUGAGGAGACGGGAGAGUGAGAUGCUAGACUCUGAUACCAUGUUGAGCUGCAGAUGCAGCAGAAAAAUCGAGCUCGAGCUAGAGCUCCAAUGGUGGAAAUUCUGGAAGCUUCAUAGAGGGAGAUACUGAGAGAAGAUAUUUUUGUAUAUAAAAUGAAUAAUAUGUAACAAUGUAUUGUACAAAACUAAUGUAUAUACACUUGUAUAACCUCUAUAACUGAUAACUAACAACUAAUUAAGCUACAACUAAGUGACAACUAAGCUAAGUAGUAACUAACUACUAUACAUAAAUACAUAGCUCAACAACAUUCAAUAUGACACAAGAAGGCACUUAUGGAAUAAAGAAACUUACAUUGCAAAACACACCAAAAAGCAACAACCAGAUGUCUAAGAAUCAAAUUAGUAAGGAGGCUAUUAUCUCAGUUGCAGACACAACACCCAAUAUCCAAAUGUCUAGUUCCUCAGAUGAAGAAGAAGAUGUCCCUGGUAGUGAAUAUGAGCUAGGUAAAUCAGAUUCAGAAAAUGAUGAAGAUAGCUCGGGGGUGAAAUCUAGAAGUUAUGAACGUAAAUAUAAGAGCAUAGAAGAAGGACCUUUCAGUGAUGGUACAUGCAAUAAGCUGGUAGAAGCUUUCACUGGACACCAGGUUUAUGUUCCAAAUAUUUCACAAGCUUUUAUUGACAUUACAGAUCGAGCAAACCUAUCACUGGGAGGUACUACAUCUACUGUGCGAGGCAGAGAAAGCAAUAGGGACAGAAGAGGCAGAGGCAACACAACUAGCAAGUCCAUACUAACCAAAAAUCAACCCAAAUUCACCUUUCAUGAUUAGAUCUCUAUAUUGGAAUAUCGGGGCAUUAAGGGUUCCAUUGAGAGACUGAAAAUGCUUAUGAAGUAAUACAAAAUAAAUUUCGUGGCCAUUCAAGAACCUUUUUGCAAAAGAUCUAAACUUGACAAAUACAAUAAUUGGUUAAGAUAUCACUAUGCUUAUGCUAAUUGCAAUAAUAAGAUUUGGAUAUUCUCAGACAAGGAUUUUGUUCUCUCAGUUCUCUAUGAUGGUAAGCAACAACUCACAUGUUCACUAGAGAGUGAGGAAGAGGAUAUCACUAUAACUAAUAUCUAUGCUAAAAGAAAGGUUCCUCUCAGGGAACCACUAUGGGAAGAGCUGAGGCAGACUUAUUCAAACCACAUGAAGGAAUGGAUGGUCAUGGGUGACUUCAAUUGUAUUAUUGAACUAUCUGAAAAGAUUGGUGGUAAUCCUCACAGAAUGGAAAAGAGUUUCCCUUUAAUCGAAUGCAUGACGGACUGUGAAUUAAAUGAUCUUGGUUAUAUUGGCUCUACAUACACAUGGUGCAAUCUCAGAACUCCAUCAGAAAGGAUAUGUCAGAGACUAGAUAGAGCUCUUGCAAAUCAGGAAUGGCUCUCGAAAUUCCCCAACACCACGGUUACUCUCUUGGUCAGAAAAUGAUCAGAUCAUGCUCCUCUUUUAAUUGUUGCUGGUAGCAAUGAUUAUUAGCCCCCAAAUAUUUUAAAUUCUUAAAUUUUUGGGUAAAUGAACCUGGUUUUAAGGAGAUUGUUCAACAAGCUUGGCAAAUUCAAGUGGAGGGAUCUCCUAUGUGGAAGUUCCACCUUAAGUUGAAAAACACUUAUAAGAACCUCUCUUGGUGGUCUAAAAAUUCUGUAGGGGACAUAUUUGCUCUGACUAAUGAUAAAGAAAGAAGGUACCAGAGCUAGAAAACAUUUGUAUUCAUGACAACUCUGUUGAGAAUAUGGUCAGGCUCAAUGAAUCCAAUGCUCAACUUAUCAGACAUUACAAGAUAGAAGAAGCCUUCUGGAGAAAAAGUCUUGGAUUAAAUGGCAUGCCAAAGGUGAUCUCAAUAUUAAAUUCUUUUAUUCAGUUAUUUCUUCUAGAAGGCAGAAGCUGAAACUGAGUAGAAUUAAGAAUGAUAUAGGAAUCUGGAUUGAAGAGCAGAACAAUAUUGGCCAGGAAGCAGUCAAAUUUUUUGAAAAUUUAUUUACUGAGGAGAAUCUGAAUAGAGAUCUCUCCUUAAUUCAAUGUCUACCCUCUAAGGUUACUAGUGAGGAUAAUGACAUUCUAUGUGUAUAUCCGACUAUUCAGGAGCUAAAAGAGAUAGUCUUUGACAUGAGUUUUGACAUUGCACUUGGGCCAAAUGGUAUGUCAAGGCUCUUCUACCAUCAUUGUUGGGAUAUCAUUGCUGAGGACCUACACAAUAUGAUUUUAGACUUCUUCAAUGGGAGUUGCCUUCCUAGAUCUAUAUUGCACUCCUACUUGAUCCUUGUCCCUAAGGUCAAAUCUCCUCAGGAAUUCUUUGAGAUGAGGCCUAUUAGACUCAGUAACUUCUCUUGCAAAAUUAUCUCCACGAUGCUUAAUAGUAGACUUUCCAAGAUUAUCAAUAAUUUAGUGUCCCAUAAUCAAACUAGUUAUAUGAAUGGGAGAUCAAUUACAUAGAAUAUCAUCUUGACUUAGGAAAUGAUUCACAACAUGAACAACAAUGAUCCUAAUUACAAUGUGGCUAUGAAGUUAGACAUGGCUAAGGCUUAUGAUAGAGUCUCAUGGAGUUAUUUGUGCCAGGUUCUACGACAAAUGAGAUUUUCUGAGAACUGGAUUCAUAUGAUUUGGAGAGUGAUUGCUAAUAAUUGGUACUCUAUUAAUAUCAAUGGAACCAGACAUGGUUUCUUUAAAUCCACUCGAGGUCUCAAACAAGGGGAUCCCUUAUCUCUUUCAUUAUUCAUUAUUGGUGUUGAGCUCCUUUCUAGAGCAAUGGACAUGCUAUUAGUGGAUAAUUUCAUCCAUUUCAUCAUUGAUGGAAAUGGACCUAGCAUCACAUCUAUGCUAUGCAGAUAAAACCAUUCUUUUCUCUUCAGGAGAUUCAAAUUCUAUCACUAGGAUGAUGAACACUCUAGAGACAUAUGAAAGGUCUAUGGAGUAUGGACAACUCAUUAACAAAAGAAAAUCUGGGUUCAUUGUCCACCCUAAAGCCACUGAUAUCUUUAUUCAAGAGAUGAAACAAAUAACGGGAUUCACUCAACAUCAAUUUCCUUUACCAACCUUGGUUCCUAUAUACAUAGGUAGGAAAAGGAUUUCAUAUUUUUCUGAUAUGGUGGCUAGAUUGUCACACAGAGUCACAGGGCGAUAGAUGAAAACUCUCUCAUUUGCAGGAAAGGCUGUUCUUGUUAAGGUAGUGCUUGCUUCCUUACCUCUGCACAUUAUCUCUGUGGUUCAGCCACCAAAAACAAUCAUUAAGCAAAUAGCGAGGGUGAUGCCUAACUUCAUUGUGAAUCAGAAGGUAAGAAAAAACAUCAUUAGAUAUCUUGGAGAAAGUUGUGCUUUCCUACUGACUAGGGAGAUGCAGGUUUUAGACCAAUUCAAAGCUACUGUGAUGCAUUCCCCGCCAAGAACUGGUGGAAUUUCAGAACUAACUUUUCUAUGCUCAAGGACUUCUUGAAAGCUAAGUAUUAUAAAAGAUCUCAUGCAUUUCAAAGAGACGGACUUAUGUUGAUUCUCAUACCUGGAGAAGAUUAAUGGAGGCUAAAACUAAUUUUGAGCAACAUAUUCUUUGGAAGAUAGGUUAUGGAAACAUUUCCUUUUGGUGGGAUAACUAGUUAGGGAUUGGACCUCUAGCUAGACAAGUACCACAAGGUUAUAGAUCCAAAAAGAUUACAGUUUCUCUCUUCAUUAAUUCUAACAGGUGGAAGGAGCAGGAACUCAGAAAGAUCCUCCCUGAUCACAAUGUAUAUCAGAUCCUUAAUAUCACCAUUGAGCCUAAUAGAGAGGAUUAUCCUAUUUGGCUGGCUGAUGAAAAUGGCGAGUUCUCAUGCAAAUCAGCAUGGAAGGCUACCAAAGUAAACAGAAAUUCCUCUCUCACUCCCAAGAAAAUCUGGCGCUCCAAAAUCCCCUUCAAAGUAUCCUUUUUAUGCUGAAACUAUUACAUGAGAGCUUGCCUACAGAUGACAAGACUCAAAGAUUUAAUUACCAGGGACCAUCUAAAUGUGAUUGUUGUGGGAAUCCUAAUCAGGAAAACUAUUGAACUUUUAUUUUGUGAAGGGGAUAUGAAGCUGAUUUGGACUUUCUUUUCUACUUCGUGUGAGAUCCCUUAUCAACCUCAAUCCACCAGAGAUAUGCUUAUCAAAUGGUGGCUUGCUAAGCCAAAAAAUAGCAUACAUGAACUACUUCAAUGUACCCCCUCUAUCAUCUGUUGGGAGAUUUGGAAGAGUAGAUGCACCAGGAGAUUUGAACAUACUACUUUAUCUAUUAUGAGAAUCAUUAAUCGAGUCAUCUGAUUAACUAGUCUGAUCUUGAAUAGCCAAUUUAUCUCUUUGAGAGUUAACAACAAGUGGAUGUAUAUAUAUGACAGAGUAGAAAGGCUAAGCAAAAACUACACAUCAAGUUAAAUACGGAUGGAUGUUGCAAAGGCAAUCCUAGAGAAGCAGCCGGAGGUGAUAUUCUUAAAGACCAUAUGGACAAUCCGAUCAGGACGUACUAUUCUUACUUUGGUGUUUGUAGAAACAACAAAGUUGAGACUAUGGCCUUACUUAAAGGGUUGCACUGGUGCAUCAACAAUGGGCACACCAAUAUUUUGGUGGAAACUAACUCCUUAUUACUAGUCAGAAUGAUUAAAGGGGAGAACAAGAUUCAGUCAUACCUCAGGGAUUAUAUCCAUCAAAUCAAAUACCUGAUGAUUUAAGGGCAAACUCAUGUUGGUCACUGUUACAGGCUCGUUUGCUAAUAUUGGAGUGGAGACUAAACAGGAGAGAUUCUUCACUCAUGGCCUCACCACGAGAGACUAAAACUUUAUUGAAGAAUAUCAAAAUGGCUUUAUUCGCUCCAGAAUAAGGUCCAAGAAGGGGCAUUUCAUAUUUGAUAAUAGUUAAGACUACUCAAGUUGUAUUGACAUAUAGGUUUCAUUUCAAAGCUAGCUCUUUCAUCUAUAACAUGAUAGGGAAUUCCUCUCUUAGUGAAAACUUAGACAAUGCACAGAAUUAUCUUCGAUCUCACUCACUCACUCUCCAUGUAUCUCUAGAGGCUAAGGUUUAUGUCCUCCUCUGUGUAUUCUUUUGGAUUAUCUAAUAGACAGGUAAGGGCAAUGCCAACCCCCCAUCCCAACUACCAUAGGGCAGCAUACCCUGGGUGAUGGCUUGAAUAAAAAAAAUACUAGCACUACUAUACCGGAUCUCAUCAUAAUGUCAAAGUUAAACGUGCUUGGGCAAGAGUAUACUGUGAUGGAUGACUCCUUGAGAAGUCCUCGUGUUGCAUCCGGACCUCACUUGUGGAUAUUCAAAAGGCGAAAUACAUAAAGCGCCCCUUUAAGUUGUGCCCAACGAUCAUUUGAACAUCUUAACUUGCCUUAUGACCAGACAAACAUUUCUGCUUGGUAGAAGUAUAUUCUCUUAAACACCAUCCGCUGACAUGACAAAUUUUGUGUGUUACACUUACAUCUACACGUGUGAAGAUCUUGAAAAUUAGGUUUAUCUUUUUUUCCCUAAAACCAAUGUGGACCCUACCACCUCCUCCAAUUUUCUCCGUCUUCUGCGCUGCGCUGCACCAUUUAUCUUCUCCAUCUUGAAAAUAAAUUCGAAAAAAGACGAACAAAUAAAACAAGUUGAAACAAAAACCCAGCUGAUAGCAAUUGAAAAAUGAGAAAAAGGGUUAGAGAAGAAAAGACAACUCAUUCAGAACAAUAAUAGUAAAGAUUAAAGAAAAGCAAGCGAAAUUUGUAAAGCUUUUCUACACCGACUACCGGCGGCGAUAUCGCAUUUGCCAUUGUUUCACCGUUGAAGACCCACCAUGCCUUUGAACCUCUUCAAAUUCAAACCCACAAGAGUCAUUAUAAACAGGGGCAUAAAAAAUUAGAGAAGGAAGCAAUAUCACCGAAAACUUUUUGGCCAGAAAAGUGAGUACUUAACGGAAACUUUUCUGCAAUCUUCCCUCUUUCAUAUUGUCCCCAAUUAUCUUCUCCAUCUUCACCCUCCAUGACAGAAAAAAACACAAAAUUUUCAUCACCAUCCGCCAUUAAACAAAUCCAAAAACAAUAAAUCUUCUCUAUUACACCACCACAUAACCACUAACACUUCCUUCAAUUUCCCUUAUCGACCCCAAAUCUGAAAAACUAAAAAGAACCCAUCUAAAACCUUUGUCUGGUUUUGUUUAUUCUGCUCCUAUUGGCAUUCCUCGAUGUGUUUAGGCACGGAGUAGAGGUUUUCGGUGGCAAUGUUUCCGGUGGCAAUGUAUAAAGAGGAAGCUGCAACUUCCAUGGUGUCCAGCGUCCAUGGUGUUGGUCUAAGUAGGUUUUAUGGUGGUUUAAGGUCUGAUUUGGGAAAAUAGAGUCUUUUUCUUAUUUUUUAAAUUAAAAAUAACAACUAUUUCUUAAUAUAAACUAUACUUUAUUUAAGAAAUGCACGUGUCAUUUAAUAAUUUGUCAAAUUGACAUGUCAUCCGCGAGCGUAACUUAUGAGACGCACCUGUGUUAAAAUAGAAGUGUCUGUAUGGUGAUAAGGCAAGUUAAGUUGUUCAGAUGAUCGUUGGGGACAACUUAAAAUGGCGCUUUAUAUAUUUCGCCUAUUCAAAAUAAUUUACAGAAUGAAUUGAUUUAGCUCUCUAUUAAGAAAAAAAGUUGCUUGUAAGUUGUUGCUAAGAGUGUUCAUAAAAAUUCGAAAAAUCGAACCAAACCGAAAACCAAACCAAAUCGACCAAAAAAAACCGAUACUUUUUGGUUUGGUUUGGUUUUGGUUUUGAAUUUUAAAAAACCCAUCAAAUUUGGUUUGAUUUUGGUUUUAAUCAGAAAAAAAUCAAAAAAACAUCGAACCAAACCGACUAUAGGAGUAGCUAUUUUAAAUUUGUUAUUACAUCUAUAUAUAUGUAUAUUUUUAUACAAAGUUUCAAAAAUUUAAUGGUAAAUGUUAAUAGUUUGCACUUUUGUAUAGUUAUUGACCUUUACAUUCUAGUUUGAUUGGUAGUUUUCUUUAGUUAAGUGUAAGAAUCCAUUUCGUAUUAAAAAUAAUAUAUUUUUAAUUGAGUCCUUAAAUUAUUCAUCAUUAUUUAAUUUAAUUAUCAUCAAUAUAUCUUGGUAAAUAAUAGAUUUUUCAAAGGGAAAUUGAUUUGAUAGUGUUACAUUGAAAAUGUGGUCUCCGAAAUAUGUGUUUGUUAGUGAUGUCUUAUAUUUAAGAAAAAACCGACAAAUAAUCGAAAAAACCGAAAAAUUGACAAAACCCGACAUAAACCGAAUCGAGAAAAAACCGACUUAAUUAGUUUGGUUUGGUUCUAAUAUUUAAAAACCGACUUACUUGGUUUGGUUUCAUUUUAGAGAAAAACCGAUCCAAACCGAACCAUGAACACCCCUAGUUAUUGCAGUGCUAAUUGUGAGCCCCUUCGGGAAAUUGCUUGCAAGCUACUUGCUUGAUUGCAACCAGUGGCAGACCUAGAGCAUUGAAGGUGAGUUCUUCGGAACUCAGUAAUUUUUGCGUCUACUCUGUAUAUAUAUUAAGAAAUUCAUUAAAUAUUUAUAAAUAAUUAACUGUGAACCCAGUUAGUAUUGCAUAUUAAUUUAAUAUUAUGGUAGGACACCAUAAACCUUAAAUCCUGGAUCCGCCUCUGAUUACAAAUUUACAACCCCUUCAGGAAGCUUCUUACAUGCUACGUGUUUGCACUAUUAGUAAGUUAUUUGCUUGAGUGCAAGUCUCUUCAAAAAGCUGCUUGCAUACUACUUGCUUGAUUGCAAUUUUUUAGAAUGCAAAUCUCUUCAGAAAAGUACUUUCAAGUUGUUUGCAAAGGAGUACUAAUUAUGCACAAUUUUAUGUAUUCAUAACACGUUUACAUUUUUCAGUGUUCACGUUCUUUUUACGUUUGUACUGCAUUGAGCCUUUGCAAGAGAAUUUUACGUUUCACUUAUUUUUUGUUUUUGCUUCACUAGUGUUUAACCGAAAAAUAGAUUUUUGGUCAAAAUUAAGAUUUAGAAGAAAACGGGUUACUAAUAACCAAGUUUUACUUCACUUUCCUGAUCGGCUAUUUGUAAAAUAGUGAAAAUUAUAGAGGGAAUUAGCAAAAAGAAAUAAGGAAUAAUCCAAUAAUAAAUCCCUAAAAUCAAGGUUAUAAAGCAAAGAAUUAUAGAAUGUAUUUCAGUAGUACUUGGAAUUUGUCCUUACAAAUAAAAUUAUAUAUCCUUAUAUAGGAGUGUACAAUCAUAACGGUUUUUCAUAUAAUUUAGGUUUAUUAUGGGCAUUAAUUGUAUUGAUUGCCCAUUACCACAGAUAGUCGUAAUUGGCAUAUUUAUUGCUUUGAAUGCCUUAUAAAUGUUCCGAUUUCCCUUCCUUAUUUACUUCUGGUUCAUGUAUCCUUCCUUUUUUUUAUCCUUAUUCAUUCCGUCCACGCCUCUUCUUUGACAAAUGUCAGGCCCGAUUCUUUUUUCUGUACUGUCUCGUGGGUAUUUCUCCCGUGUCUUCCUAUCUUAAUUAAUUCUAUUAAUUGAGAAUGUCAUUUGUUGCUAUAUCACUGCUCCACGCGUCAUGCUUCGUCAGCAUACUAGCAUUCCAUGUGUAAUGCCUUUUUUCCACCAAUACAGAUAGCCCCUCCACUUUUUGAAUAUUAUGGACUGAUUAUUCGGGAAGUGGAAAUCUUUUAUGACAGGAACUCUCUGCCGUUGUUUUUCGAAUAUAAUCAUGUCUUCUUCAGAACCGAUGUGACAUACAUCACAUCCAUUUAAUGCCCAUGCCACGUGGCCUCUAACGAUUGGUGCUGCAGUUUCUCAGCGCUUUUUAGGGUUUCUCUGCGGCCGCGUCAGUCACGAUGUGACGGUUCCAUUAUGAUGCUUUAUAAUGACCAAAUUUAACAAUGAUCAUGUCUCCUUAUAAAUACUUCAUUCUUUUUUGAUUUCUUAGAGUCUUCCUUCUUUAAUAUCCAUCAUCUUACUCCUGCUUUGUAUCUUUCUGCAUCUUUCUUCUGCCUUUCUUUGGACAAUCAUGUCUUCCCCAGAUCUUCGCAAGGUAGUGAUUAUUGAUGAGUUUGUUCCUUCUAAUGCUCCCACUAGAAUCAGGAGGGGUGGUAGGUUUCAUAGUCUUGGUUCAAUAUCUAACUAUGGUUAUUCCUCUUAGAAUAAUGCUACUAAACCAUCUUCUUCUAGGCCUGGGGCUCCUUUAACUCCUAGAUUUUCUUCUAAAAAUAGAGAUUUAGCUAAUCUUAUGCGUGAACCUAUAGUUGCAGAGAUUGUUCCUCAAUAAUUUUCUUUUGUAAUUGAUCGUGAAACCAUAAGAAACCAAGUUUCUUCCAUGGCUUCCCUUAGCUCUGCUGGCCUUUACCCAAGUUUGAUCACUACUGGCCUUAUUUCCCUAGUUCGUAGAAAGUGUCACUAGAAAUAAGAUUUCCCAAUUUUAGUUCCUGGUGACAACCAGAGAAUUACUUCCUAUCAUGCAGGUUUUUCAUUUGUCUAUACCUACCCCUUCACUUUAGCGUUCAAACCUUCUAUUGAUCUAGUAAUCUUUGAAUUCUAUCAUUAUUUCAAUAUGUGUCUUGGCCAGAUUGGCCCCAUAGUAUGGAGGGCUGUUGCAUGCCUUCAUUAUUUAGCAGAACCAGUUUUCGUGCCUUUUACUUUUCGGCACUUGCUUCACCUGUACUCCUCAAAGUUGUUUCGUGAAGUUGUCUUUACUCUCGUGGCUAGAAGUAAGAGAGUUUGGUCAGUCUAAAGACGGUAGGGACCGUGGCUGGUAUGUAUGUUUUGUUGCUGCUCCUACUAGUGGAUUAGUGGGCGAAGAAAAUAUUCCUUUCCCGAAGAAAUGGAACUUUGCAUGUAAGUUUUUUUUCUCUUUAAAAUAUCUCAAAACACUUUAUUAUAAUCAGAUACCCAAUUUUUCAGUAACCAUGGAGGUUUUUGAUGAAAUUUCCAACUUUUGUGCUUGGGUAGAAAAGAUGUUUACAACUGCAACUAUGGAGAAAAGAUAUUGGAAAUACCUUUCUCAAAAAUUUAGUUGGAAAGUAAAGACGCACGGUAAUUUUUACCUUCAUAGUCUCUUCCUUUCUCUUCCUUGUUUAUUCAUGAAUUUAUCAUCCCCCCCCCCCCCCUUUAGGGUUUCCUAUUCGUGGCACUAGUCAUAAGUCUUGCUCAUGAAAGAAUUUUAAGUGCUUCUUCUUCAAAGAGGAAAAAUGAUGGGGCCCGUGGCUCUGAUGGCGAAGAGGAAAUAGAUGAGGUUUCUUUAGUGUGAAGACCACGAGUUAGAAGACGUGUGAUUUCUGAUGAUGAAACUACUCCUUCUCGUGACCCUCCAACAAGUUCAGUACCCUUUAGACUCACGGAUGAGCUAGAGAGUGCUCUUUCAGUGAUUUCCGAUGAAGAUGCUGCUAUCCUCCCCCUGACUUUGUUGAUUGAUUGUUUGAUCAUGGCUUCGAGAGUGAUAAAGCUAUUGGGCUUCUUUCCGAAGAAUUGCCUCUUGCUUCCCUUCCAGUUUCGGUUUCUAUUAACCCCCCUCCCCCCGUGUCUCUUUCUGAUGCUACCCCUGUUGUUACUCUCGUGGCUGCUCCACUUCGUCUGUUAUUCCCAUGGCUACCUCCCAUGUAGAGACAAAACCUUUUAGCAGCAGGAUGACAAUGAAAAGAGUUGUUGUUGAGGUUCCUGAAGGUGAAAACUUACUAAGAAAAUCUGGUCAAGCCGAUGUAUGGUUGAAGCCUCUACUAGGUCCCGUGAAGAAGAGGAAGUUAGAAAGCCAUAUCUCUCUGACUUUAAUGAAUGAUAUCGUUCAUUCUUCUUUGAAGGUACAAUUUUAAUUGUAUUUCCUUUCUUUUCUUUCUCCUAUUCAUCACUCUUUUUUUUGCAGAUCAACUUGAUUAGCACAUAACCUAUGAAAAGAGUUUCUCAGACGGAGCAUCAAGUUAUAGAUUUUCACACCGAAGCUGACAACUGGAAAGAACAAUUCGAAGGUCUUCAACUGGAAAAACAGGUUCUGGCAGAAGAAAAGAAUGCUUUGGAACAACAAAUGAGGGUGAUUGCUGCUGAAUAGCGAUUGACAAAGCUUCUUCUAACCAGGUUAAAAACGACAAGGAUAUACUUGAGUCCUCUUUCACUGAACAACUUUCAAAGGCAACUGAAGAGAUAAGAAAUUUGAAGAACCUCCUUAACUAGAAAGAAGUUUAUACGAGUGAAUUGGUUCAAACACUUACUCAAACUCAAGAAGAUCUCUGUAUCUCUACUAGUAAGAUUCAGUUCUUGGAAAGUUCUCUUGUAUCUUUGAAGACGACUUAUGAUGCCUCUGAAGCAGAAAAAGAAGAGUUGAGAGCUGAGAUUGACCAGUGGGAGAAGGACUAUGAGAUUCUCGAGGAUAAACUAUCAUUGGAUGUGAGCUGGGCUUUCUUAAACACUCGCCUUUAGACUCUAAUUGAAGCCAACCAGAAGGGUUUUGACCUUAAUGCUUAGAUUGUUAAGGCUAAAGAAGCAAUUGAUAAAACUCACCAACAUCAAAGCUUUUCUUCACCUGAAGACAAAGGUCCCGAGGGUGAUGGAAAUGGACUUGUUCCUGGUGAAGCUGAUAUUCAAGCUUCUUCUUCUCAAGUUAAUCCUUCUUCUCCCAUUGAUGAUGCUCCGGUGGAUGAUGCUCCUUAGUUUUUUCUUACUUUUAUGUUUGUUCAACUUUUGGAAGUUUGUUGUUUUUGGGAAGGCUGCUUUUCGGUUACCCCUAUCUUCUUUUGGGGUUUAAUAACAAACUAAUACCUCUAUUUUCCCCAAAGUAAUAUAUAUGUGUUUCGGUUAAUUUUACCAUUUAUUUUGCUCUUUGAUAUUUGAGCUUUUUCCUUGCAUUUAAAAAUGCUUUAAUAAUCCAUGAUUUUGAUUAACACGGAUUUUUAUAAAAAAAAGGGCCCUUUUAUGUAAACGACACUAAUGAAGAUGACGUCUUAUCUUCAUAUUGGUGUAAAUAUAUGAAAGACUAAAUAGACAAAAAGGAAACAGUUUGAGGAAGUUUUAUGUUUUAAACUUUCAAAUAAAUUCCGUACAUCAUUUUCUCUAUUAUUCGUCCAACACUUUCACAACUGCUUUUUUUGUAGCAUAUUUUCAGAUACAAAAUCGGGUUUAUUAUACCGUGACUAAAUUUUGGACUUAACCUAAAACUCGUAGGAAUUUGGAAUGUAUCUUGUAUCCUUCUCGCGAGUUCACACCUUCUCAAGGUUGCUUCAAGGUUUUUGAUUUAGGCUUGAUUUUUGGCUCUUUUGCUUCUUUCUCUAUAUGCAUAGUCCCCAUAAUGUUAGAGCUUUGAAGUAUAAAAUCUCGAACACUGGAUUACUCCUUCUUUUUGGUCCAUUCCCUGAAAAGGAAAAUACAAACGGAACUCGGAGAUAUACGUUUAGAUGAUGACUGCAUAACCCUUUUUUCCAUCAGAAAGGUUGCAAUCUAGAUCGUGAAUAAUUUAGUAUUCCCGCGUCUUUUAGGUCUAAUAUCAUCAUUUGGUACGGGCUAGCUUUUUGCCUAUCAUCUAAAAUUAUUAGUAAAAUUCAAAAGAACAAAAUAAAGUUAUAUCUAAGUGAUACCUAACCAUGGGUACUUCCUUUGUCUAAAAGUAAUACUUCUUUGGAAGAACAACAUUCUAGUUUGAUGGUAGUAUGCUGUCAUCCAUGGUCUCCAACUCAUAUGCUCCAUUUCUAGUGAUGCCUCGAACACUUAUAAGAGCCUUCUCAAUUUGGACUUAACUUUCCCGCAUUAGUCGCUUUCGUUGAUCGAAACACCUUUUUAAGAACGAAGUUCCUAAUCUUGAAGAAGUACCUCAGAUUUGCUUUCCUAUUGUAAUAUCGCUCAAUCAUCUGUUUUUGAGCUUCCAUCCUUAUUCGCACUGUUUCUCUCCUUUACUCUAGUAAAUCCAAAUUCAUUUGCAUUUCUUCCUCAUUUGAUUCCUCAGUAGCAUGUGUGUACCUCGUACUUGGUUCACUUAUUUCUACUGGAAUUAAGGCUUCAGUGCCAUAGACAAUUGAAAAUGGAGUCUCAUCCGUAUUUGUUUUUGCUGUCAUUCGAUAAGCCCAUAAUACCCCCGGUAACACUUCUGGCCACUUGACCGUUGAUUCUUCUAGUCUUUUUUUAAGUUAUUAAUAAUAACUUUGUUUGCUGACUCAACUUGCCCGUUGGCUACAUGAUGGUAAGGUGCAUAUGUAAUUCGUUUAAUCUGUCAACUUUGAAAGAACUCUGUGAUUUUCGUGCCUAUGAAUUGUGGGCCAUUGUCACACACUAUUUCCUUUGGAACUCCAAAGCGACAAAUAAUGUUUCGCCAAAUAAAGUCCAUGACUUCUUUUUUCGCACCUGUUUGAAAGCUCCUGCUUCUAUCCAUUUUGAAAAAUAAUCUGUUAAAACUAAUAGAAAUCGUACCUUUCCUUUAGCUUGAGGUAACAUAUAUCCAUGCCCUAUUUCAUAAAAGGCCAUGGCGAGAUAACUGAAUGUAACAAUUCUACUGGGCGAUGCAUGUUAUUGGUGUAUCGUUGAUACUUAUUGCACUUGGCCACAAAGUUUUCUGCUCCUUCCUCCAUUUUUGGCUAAUAGCAUCCUGCUAUUAUUAAAAUCUUCACCAAUGAUCUUCUCCCAUCAUGAUUGCCAUAGUGCCCCUCAUGUACUUCCCUUAUCACAUAUUCCGUUUGUGAAGGAGCAAGGAACCAUGCCAAAGGUUCACCGAAUAUUUUUCGGUAUAAGUUUCCACGAAUUAAGCAAUAUUGGGUGGCUUUUUGGCAAAGUAUCUGUGACUUCUUCUUGUCUUCGGGUAAGAUUCCAUACUGCAAAAAGUUGACAAACUCGUUCCUCCAAUCCCAAGUUAAAUUAUUAAAAUUUACCUCGUUCUUGUCUUGAUCGACCACCGAAUGAAACAAAUGUAUUACAAUAGCAUUUUCUGCAUUUGUUAUCUCCAUAACAAACGUGAGGUUGGCCAACACAUCUGCUUCUGCAUUCUCCUCCCUGGGUAUUUGCACAGCCUUCCACAAUUGAAAUUGUCUGACUAAUUCCCAUAGCUUUUCCAUGUAUUGUUGCAUUUGUGCCUCUCUUGCUAUGUAAGUCCCCUGUAUCUGGUUAACUAUUAGUUGCGAGUCACUUUUGAUUACAAUAUGUUCUAUUAGCUUCGAGGAACCGCUAGUAAAUAAAAUACAAGUCCCCGGAUUAGAUCCGGUAAAUACCUGUAAUUCCUUUUCUACCUCAGGAAUUAAAUUCGUGCUGAAAUCUGUUACAAAAUAUGCUAAAACCUAUGAUUUUAUUGCCAUUCUAGGCUGAUAUAUGAUAUCAUACUCACUGAGUUCUAUUUAUCACUUAGCUAACCUACCAGAUAGUUCUUAUUUAUGCAACAUAUUCCUUAGAGGGAAAGCAGUUAUUACUGAGAUAGGAUCACAUUGAAAAUAAGGUCUCAACUUUCUAGAUGCUUAACUAAUGUUAAAGCAAGCUUUUCUAGAUGAGGAUAUCAUGUAUCGGCAUCUAACAAAGAUUUACUAACAUAAUAUAUUGGAUAUUAUUUAUCUUUAUCCUCUCAUACCAACACCGCACUUACCACCACUUCUGAUACAUCAAGGUAAAUAAGCAGCCUUUCUCCGUCUUUUGGUUUGGCUAGCAAAGGCGGAUUUGAAAAAUACAUUUUUAGGUCCUUAAGACUUGUUGGCAUUUAUCAGUCCAUUCAAAUUGAUUCUGCUUUCUCAAAACUGAAAAGAAUUUAAAACCCUUUUCCGAAGAUUUUGAAAUAAAUCCGCGGGCUGCUAUUCUUUAUGUUAAUCUUUGCACUUCUUUUUUGCUUGUGAGUGCAUUCGGUGUUUCUUCGAUAGCUUUGAUUUGUGC